This 58553-nucleotide long non-coding RNA is filed under the name Eucalyptus grandis. Its description in RNAcentral is "long non-coding RNA (EGRA_LNC006761)". Lineage: Eukaryota; Viridiplantae; Streptophyta; Magnoliopsida; Myrtales; Myrtaceae. The record is from RNAcentral.
CCCGAUAGAAUUAGACCUGAAUAAAGUAUUUCGUAUCAUAAGCAUACAAAGUAAUAGCACAAAAACAAUGUGCAGCCAAGCAGGAAAUUCUCAACUAGUAAUAUCGCAUCGGCCUCUUCUGCCUUCAGGCGUAACUCUUCCAGUUCCUUCCAUGGCGAAAUGGUUUCUGAGUCCUGCCGAUAGCUCUGCGGUUCCGGUCUCAAUUCGUCUUGAAUUUACUUUAUUCAGUUGAAGUUUCUCAAUUUAAACUGGUGCCAAUCGUAGCAAAAAGCCUCCCUUGACGAUUUCAUUAUCGUUCGUUUUUGUCACUGCCUCCACCUUCGGUUUCUAUCACUUUCGUUCUCCGACGGAGGAGAAUAGUCGUGACUGAAACUAAGACAGAACUCGGAUUCUUCGCUUCGAGCUCUUCAUCAUUCGGUUACUGCUACAAUAUUGAAGAUAAGUUCUCUCUCAUUCUCUGGAUUUCAUUUUUCAAUUCAAGCAACGGCAUUGAUUCUCGGCCCUAUUCUGAAUCUCCAGUGGCUUCCUUAUCGACUUUCCCUCACCAUCGCCCUCUGGACACCGUUGGCACACACUGGUCGUCGCCAUCCGAAGCUCUGUUCGCCCCUGUUCUCGGUCAUCAUUGCUGAAGUGCUCGAACUGCAGUCAGCAUAUCUCUCAUGACGAUUCCAGUUCACAAAGCUGCUUCCACGAUCACCUUACUAAGGUCCAAUAAUGAAUCGCGAGAGGUGAUUAUCCUCUAUCCAAUCGAAUCACAUAUGCUCUGUUUCAUGGUGUUCUACGUACAAACCACUGCCUGGGUAAAAAUCAAUUAUGACUGAGCCUGUGUUAAUGGUUUGAAUUUGCUACGUUGCUUUGUGAUGAUCUCGUUCACAUACAUGUACUGUAUUGACAUCCAUAUUUGAUUUUCAUAUCUGAUUUUGUAGUGCGUGCUUGAUCUGAGACAUUUUACAGUAUGUUUGUCGACUUACUUUCGUCAAUUGGUUCAAUGCAGGUAUAGAAAACAUCGAGUCUCGACAUGUUGUGCUGAUCAACGAACCUGCGUUUGGAUUUGCUGGAACUAGCUUAUACCCGACUGGUAAUGUUUAGCUCAUUGAUAUGGUGUUGGGUUGUUUAAUUACUUUUCUCUGCUAAAUCCUACCUGCGAGAUGUUUCGCGUGUGUAUACCAUUUUAGAACUGAACAUCUCAAUGGAUUGAAAAGUAUAUAAUGGUCGUAGUUUGUCUGCCGCUGCGUCUGUUGAUCAUGUGGCCACGGGAAAUCCACUCUUACAGAUUCAAGCAGUAUGCAGAAACUUCACUAUACUUUUGCUAUCAGCAAAGGUGGUCAUUGUAAGCUCGAUGAAAGUGCUCCCAGAAGAACCAAGUAAUGAUCUUCGGUAACCAGAAAGUGGGACGGAGUCGCAGCAACGACCAUCUAGUUCGUGAAUAAUUCCCCCAGAAAUGAAAAAUAGAUACGAGAGAAUCUUCUCAAGUAUUAAGGAAAGUACAGAGGCAUAACAACUAUCAGAGGAAAAGGUCACGAGUUUCUAUCUUCAGACUGCUGGAACACACAAAUUGAAUGCUCUCAAAGGAGAUCUGAUUUUUCAUUAAAAAUGCUUCAAAAACAACGACAUACCUCUGAAGGAUCGAUCUAGAUGUCAAUCAUCUUUCGAAUAAAAAUGCAGCCGAGUCUUGAAAGGCCCAAGACACCUUGAACAAAAUAGACCAUCGCAACUGCAAUAUUGUCUGGGGACAAGUCGACCCCAAAAAACUUAUUGAACUCGUAUAGCUUUUUUCCUUGCGAAGAACAUUUUUACUGGAAGUGCUUGUUUCUCUGUGCUUAAAAUAUCACUAGAAUUAGAAGAGAUUAUUACGUGAAAUGAUUCCCUAGGAUUCAGGAAUUGGACAUGCUCUUACAAUAUCACUAGAAUUAGAAGAAAUUAUUACGUGAAAUGAUUCCCUAGAAUUACUCCAUGUCACUAGCUAAUCUUUAUAAAAUAAAGAUCUUGUCAUUUCAUCGUAAGUUGCAAAAUUUGAAAUUGGUGCGAUUCAGCCUGUCAAAUUAAAAAGAAAAGAAAAGAUGUGCCUGUCAUUUUAUAUACAGUACAGGUAGUUACAAUCAAAUCUGUUGCAAAGUAGACAUGAACGUUGAAAAGAUUACAUAUCAGAAAUUGAAAACCACUGACCAGUAAAAUUACAUAACAAAACUUGAAAAUUGAAAUAUAAAUAACAAAACAUAUAUUAAAGAUAUUCUGAUAAUAACCCUAAAUUUGAACCAGGUGCCACCACAAUGAGACUGUCCUUCAAAAGAUUAAACCAAUCAUAAGAUAAUUUAUAAAAGCGUCAGCUAACUAAUUAGCAAUUGGAAUACAUAUUGAAAUAAUUUCACCAGAUGCGAUUUUGUCCUGAAUAUCAAUGUGCUUGGUGUGAGCAUGGAAAGCCAAAUUAGCAGCUAAAUAAGUGGCUCUAAUAUUAUCACAUAUUAUGACGGCCCGAGCGGCGGUGCGCGGGGAGGAGGGAUGGCGGUGCGUCCGCGCCUCGGUCCCCGGAUGUGCGCAAGGAAGGGGUCCUCUCCCUCUUGUCCCACAUCGCUUAGGGGGGGAGUCCAGGGCCAGUUUAUAAUGGCUUGGGCCCCUUAAUUUGUGUGACGCGUUUUAAAACCAUGAGAACUCGGUGUUCAAAUUGGACAAUAUCGGGCCUGGGUCAUUACACAUAUGAUUUACAGCCAGUUUAGGUGAAAAUACAUGAAGAUCAUAUGACUUCUCUCAAAUCCAAUAAGUUUCUACGACUGCAGAGGCGAAAACUCCCGUAUUCAGAUUCCGCGAUGUCAUAUUGUACCCAAUAAAAGCUAAGUAUCCGGAUGCUAAGUGAUGAGUAUCGGGACAACCGCCCCAAGAGCAUGAUUUAAUGUUAACAAGGAGAUGUCGAAUGAUGGUUUCAAUAACAGUCCAUGAUCAAUGGUUCCAUUAAAAUAUAUAAAAAUUAGCUUAAUCGCUUGUAAGCGAGAUGUUUGAGGGCAAUGCAUGAACUGAUUCUCAACACGGGCAGCAUAAGAAAUGUCGGUAGGAUCCAUCAGUAACACACCGUCAUGUAAAGAAGGUUGAGACUUAAAACUGUAGAAGAUUCCUAGUGUGAUGUGUUUGAGACAGCAAAAUCCCCGUGCCUCUGGACUGGUCCUCAACGCCAAGGAAGAAAUGCAAUGGAAAAAAAACUUUCAUGGUAAAAGCAAAAAGAAGUUUCCAAAUGAAACUAUGUAACUCUGUGGCACUACUACCUGUUAAAAGAAUAUCAUCAACGUGACGUGGUAGAAUCAAGAUUCUAGAGCUUGAAUUAUGCACAAAUAUGGAGUCAUAUGCCUUGCUGUAAAUAAAAGUGUUCGAGUGCUUAAAGAAGAACUCGCUUUUGACCCAAGAGGGGUCCAUAAACAUGCUAAAAGUAGUGCCCAACACAAUAAUUCGAAUCUGGUUCCAACAAUGCGCAGUAAAUGUCAAAAUUUCAUCCCCAUCAUAUUGUAAUGCCAAGUUGACUUCCAUAAAAUCCCAUAAUUUCAUGGCACACCAAAGUUUCAUUACAACAUGAUUUCAUAGCUCAACAACCUCAAAAGUCAGCCUAGUAACCUAAAACCAGAAUGGAAUUGAAAUUACAGCUUAACCUAGAAAAUUUUCUUCAAUUGGGUUAAUUAAGUCUAUGAAUUCUUCUCAAGCACUUCGCGUACCACAUUAAUCCAAGGCAUUACGAUAUCCAUGAUGAACUCGAACCGAACCCUUUCUCUCUCUAGCGCGCGGUUCACUUCUCUUUUCCAGUUUUCUUGAUUCUUCUUUCUCCCUCUUAACUAUUCCUCUUUUCUCUGAUAAGCCAACUACAACAAUUAUAACUAAGCUGAAGGAAGCUAGUCUGUUGGGCUUCAAAGAUGCAGCCUCAUGGGCGUAAUAAAUGAGAAUUGGUCUCUUGAGCUUGAGUCCCUUUCUUUUUUCUUUUUUUUUUUAAAAAGGGAAGACUCUAUCGUUAUGGAAGCAACUCUUGUUAAAGUCUUAGACACGGGAUGGGGGAAAAUUUUUGAAUGAACCUAGAACAUGUGAGUCCAACUCACACCCACUAUUGAAUGAUGCGAGCUCCACGUUGAACCCAACUUUUCAUGGUGUAUGUGAGAAAUUGUCAAUCCCGGAAUUCAUUAUUUCCAUUAUCAAUUAUCUAUAGAUUAAGUUAGUUAAGUCAUUAGGUAAUUUAAGGUAAUUGGUUGUGAUAGUUAGUCCGGCUAGUAGCACCAACUGCUACUGUGACAAUGGAAUGAGUCAUCCUACAGAGCUGCUGACGACAGCGGCAUGCCAUUGGCCGUUGGAUGGGUGGCGCUCUCUAUGUCGCCCCAUUCUUGAUUUUUUUUUUUUUUCAUUUUCAGUUUUUUGCUUCUUCUUUUUUCUUGUUCGCUUUUCUUUUUGCCUUUUUUCUUUUACAUACUUGAGCUUGUAAACAUAAAGGAAAACCUAGAUAAAAUUCUAAUGGACAAGUACAAUAGCGAUUAAUGUAAUGAAAAACCCCAAUAUGAUUAAACAUGAAAAUAGUACAACGAAAAUUAUAGUAUUAUUAAUUUCACACGUAACACAUGGAAACUUCACUAGCAAUGGAAAAAAAAGACAUUCACAUUGCGAUGAACGAGAGAUGUGAAAAGUGGAGGAACAAAGCCAAUUUGCAUCCUGCAAAGUCUUGAUCUUCUUGGAAAUGAUUUAACUUUUUCUCCCAUUAUCACUUUUUUUUUUUCCGCAAAGUCUAGGUCUUCGUGGAUGAUUAAAGUUUUUCUCCCGUUAUUACUAUUUUCACAAAGUCUUGAUCUUUCUAGAAAUGAUUAAAGUUUUUCUCCCAUUAUCACUUUUAUUUUUUCGUAAAGUCUUGGUCUUCAUGCAAUUGAUUAAGGUUUCUCUCUCUUCGUCAUUUCUUUUCGCAAAGUCUUGGUCUAUUUGGAAUUUAUUAAAAUUUCUCUCCCACGAUCAUCAAUUUUUAUUAAAGUGCUUCACUUUUGCUUCACAUGUAAUGCAUGGAAAUUAUCUAAUUUUGCUUCACCUUUCCCAAAAAAAGGCACAUGAUAACUAGCAAAAUCUUUGGGCAUAUUCUCCAAAUAUUGUGAAACAAGUGGACAAAAAGUAUUUUAUAUCGUUUCUCUAACCUUGCAUGCAUUUUUUAAAGUCCUGGCCUUCCUAUAGUUUGUGGUUUUCUCUUUCCAUUAGCUCAUUAUCACUCAACCCUUGUUUUUCUCUUUAGUGACUAAUUCACCCGUGACCAUUGGAGAGCUCUUUUUGAGUUCCUUCUUGGCUUUCUUCUUGUACUAAUUUCUAGUAUUGUUAAUUUUAAGCAAGGCAUGUAACAUGUGGAAAUUCUACAAGUGGAAAAAGAGACAUUGACAUAGGGAUGGAAGAGGAGGGAUGUGAAAAGUGAAGCGACAAGGACAAUUUCCGUCCUGCAAAGUCUUGGUCUUCCUGACAUUGAUUAAAGUUUCUUUCCCAUUACCACUUUUUCCCUUUGGCUUCACUUUUUACACAAAAAGCUUGAUGAGAUCCAGUAAAGUCUUGGUCUUCCUAAUACGCCAAGAAGCUUGAGCUAGACGGAAGAGCGUAUGUUUUGAUGCUCAUUCUGUCCUCGAGUUAGAUUAUUCUCCUUUUCUUUCUUUUGACCAGAGCUCGUGAUUUUGUUUUCCUUAUCAAACAGACAAACCUAGCAGUCUUUGAUGACUUAUGGAUGCAUAACUGAAAAUAAGAUGUCCUUGUUGGUUGUAUCCUUAAUAAUUUAGGUUUCAAUAACAUCGACAAAGUGGGGAUCCUUUGAUAUGAUUUUGGCCCAUGAUGCACGAGGAGCUCUCGGGGAGGCAUAUGUUGCCACGACAUGGCUAGCUGCAGAGUCCUUGCGACAAGUACCAUGUCAUGAUGGAGUUUGACAUAAUUUCGAGCCUUUGGAUGUAGAUGUCCAGCUUCAAAUUCAUUAUAUUCUCUAAAAUUCAAGUCUCAAAUUGUUUGUGUAGGGGCUUCUGAUGGUGCAUGAUUGUGUCCGGAAUCAUUAUAAUCAACCUAUACACCAAUGCAUAAUACUAAUUUGCUUCAAGUAAUAUUAGAGGAGAGGCAAAAUACUAAUUUGUGUGCUCACUCAGAAUAAAUACGUUGAAUCACUCUCAAAAUUCUAAAAUCAUAGAUAAUCUAGAUCCAUUGUCUAGAAAAUACUCCAUACCAAUUGGUUUGUCCUCCCCGUUGAAAAAUCUUGCUUUAAGAAAGCAAAAUUCAUGCAAGACAUGCUAGACUCCAACUUGAUGUAAUUCGAUGGCUCUCUCUCUCUCUCUCUCUAGUUUGUUAAACCCUUGAGUCAUUCCAUAUCCACAUGCAUCACAUGUUCCACUUGUGCAUAUUUAGAUUCUCGACUUUUAAUAAUUCUUAGAACCUUCAAUAUCUAAAACAUGAUUAAGAAAAGCAUUCAAAAUAGUAUGGACUAAAUUUAUGAUAACAACUAGUGCCAAACACAAUAGUUUGAACAUGGUUCUGAUAGUGCGCAAUAAACUUCAAAAUUUCAUCCCAACCAAACCUUAAUCCUAAGUUGACUUCCAUAAAAUCCCAUAGUUUCAUGAUUCACCAAAGUUUCCUUACUAUAUGAUUUCAUGGCUCAACAACCUUUAUAAUCAACCUAGCUACCUAAAAUAGGAAUGGAAUUGAAAUUACAGCUUAAUCUAGAAAAGUUCUUCAAUGAGGUGAAUUAAGUCUUUGAAUUCUUAUCAAGCACUUCUUGUAUGACAUUAAUCCAACGCAUUAAGAUGUCCCACGCAUUAAGAUGUCCCCAGCAAAUUUGAACCGAACCCUUUCUCUCUCUAGCGCCCGGUUCACUUUCCUUUUCCAGCUUUCUUGAUUCUUCUUUCUCCCUCUUAACUACUCCUCUUUUCUCUAAUUAGCCAACUACAACAAUAAUAACCAUUGAGGUUUGCCUCAGUGGCCACCCUUUCCACAUGAAACGAGGUUGGAGGGUUCGAAUCUCUACCUUUUCAGGGGUUGGAAUAUGGACGAUUUAGUUUCAAAUGUGGGUUUUGACUCCCACGCUCUGCAAAGAGAUAAAACAAAAGUCUGAGAGUAAGGGUUAGAGUAGGAGUAGAGUAGGACUAACAAUAAAAAAAACUACAACAAUUAUAAUUAAGCUGAAGGAAGUUAGUCCGUUGGGCUUCAAAGAUGCAGCUUCAUGGGCGUAAUAAAUAAGAAUUGGGUCUCUUGAGCCUAAGUCCUUUUUAUUUUUAUUUUUUAUUUUAAAAGGAAAGACUCUCGUUGGGGUAGCAACUCUUGUUAACGUCUUAGACACAGGAUGGGGGGGAAUUUUUGAAUGACCCCAGAGAAUGUGAGCCCAACUCACAUCCACCAUUGAAUGAUGUGAGCUCCACGUUGAACUCAACUUUUCACGGUGCAUGUGAGAAACUGUAAAUCCUAGAAUUCAGUCUUUCUAUUGUGAAUAUAUCUAUAGAUUAAGUUAGUUAAGUCAUUAGGUAAUUUAAGGUAAUUGGUUGUGAUGGUUAGUCCGGCUAGUAGUGCCAAUUGCAGCGGUGACGAUGGAAUGAGUUAUCCUAUGGAGGUGCUUACCAUAGCGGCAUGCCAUUGGCUGUUGGAUGGGUGGCGCUCUCUAUGUCGCCCCAUUCCUUAUUUCUUUUCAUUUUCAGUUUUUUGCUUUUUUUUUUUCUUGUUCGCUUUUCUUUUUGCCUUUUUUUCUUUUUUCAAACUUGAACUUGUAAACAUAAAGGAAAGCCUAGAGAUAAUUCUAAUGGACAAGUACAAUAAAGAUUAAUAUAAUGGAAAACCCAAUAUGAUUAAACGUGAGAAUAAUAAAACAAAAUUUGUAGUAUUGUUAAUUUUGCACAUAACAUGUGGAAAUUUCACUAGUAAUGGAAAAAAAAGAAAAAAAGAAAGACAUUCACAUUGCAAUGAAUGAGAGAUGUGAAAAGUGAAGGAACAAAGUCAAUUUGCAUCCUGCAAAGUCUUGGUCUUCUUGGAAAUGAUUUAAGUUUUUCUCCCGUCAUCACUUUUUUCACCUACAAAUAAUUAAGGUUUUUCUCCCAUUAUUACUUUUUCUUUCCGCAAAGUCUUGGUCUUUGUGGAAUUGAUUAAAGUUUCUCCCUCAUUGUCACUUUUUUUUUUUUCGCAAAGUCUUGGUCUAUUUUGAAUUUAUUAAAAUUUCUCUCUAACCAUCACAAAUUUUUAUUAAAGUGCUUCACUUUUGCUUCACAUACAAUGAGUGGAAAUUAUCUAAUUUUGCUUCACCUUUCCUAGCGCAUGAUAUCCAGCAAAAUCUCUAGGAAUAUUCUCUAAAUAUUGCAAAACAAGUACUUGCGGACAUAAAGUAUUUAAAAUCGAUUUCUCUAACCUCUAUGUCCACUUUUGGAAGUCUUGAUCUUCCAGAAGUUUGUUGUUUUUUUUUUUCUCUCCAUUAGCUUAUUAUCACUCAAACCGUGUUUUUCUCUUUGAAGAUUAAUUCACCCAUGACCAUUGGAGAGGUCUUUUUGGGUUCCUUCUUGGUUUCCUUCUUAUACUAAUUUCUAGUAUUGUUAAUUUAAGCAAGACAUGUAGUGUGUGGAAAUUCUACUAGCAAUGGAAAAAGAGACAUUGGCAUAUGGAUGGAAGAGAAGGGAUGUGAAAAGUGAAGCAACAAAGCCAAUUUGUGUCCUGCAAAGUCCUGGUCUUCUUGGCAUUGAUUAAAGUUUCUUUCCCAUUACCACUUUUCCCUUUUGCUUCACUUUUUACACAAAAAAGUUGAUGAGUUCCAAUAAAGUCUUGGUCUUCCUAAUACGCCAAGAGGUUUGAGCUAGACAGAAGAGCGUAUGUUUUGAUGCACAUUCUAUCCUCGAGUUAGAUUGUUCUCCUUUUUUUUCUUUUGACCAAAGCACGUGAUUUUGUUUUCCUUAUCAAACAGACAAACCUAGCGGUUUUUGAUGACUUGUAGAUGAAUAACAGAAGAUAAGAUGCCAUUGUUGGUUGUAUCCUCAAUAAUUUAGGUUUCAAUUACAUCAAAAAAGUGGGGAUCCUUUGAUGCGAUUUUGGCCCCAUGAUGCACAAGGAGUUGUCAGGGAGGCAUAUGUUGGCACGAGAUGGCUAGCCGCAGAGUCCUAGGGACAGUACCAUGUCAUGAUGGAGUUUGACAUAAUUUUGAGCCUUCGGAUGUAGAUGUCCAGCUUCAAAUUCAUUAUAUGGUCUAAAUUCAAGUCUCAAAUUGUUUGUGUACGGGCUUAUGAUAUUGCAUGAUUGUGAAUUCUCCAGAAUCAUUAUAAUAGCCUAUACACCAAUGCAUAAUACUAAUUCACUUCAAGUAAUAUUAGAGGAAAGGCAUAAUAAUAAUUUGUGCGCUCACUCAAAAUAAGUUUGUUGAAUCGCUCUCAAAAUUCUAAAAUCAUAGAUAAUCUAGAUCCCUUGUCUAGAAAAUAUUCCAUACCAAUUAGUUUGUUCUUGAUGGUUUUAUUAGCGAUGGGCUUAAGGCCCGUUCGCCCAAGUUGGGCCCAAAAAGCCCGGCCCACGGGAAUAUGGCCCGUGGAUGGAGGGACGUAUAAAAGGGAGAAGAGAGAGAGAGAAGAAACCUCUUGGACAAUCAGAACGUACGUACGUCUUCCCCUCUCCCGCGCACUCUCUCCCAAAAAGAAGAAACAGUAAGCAUAAGGCACGUUCUUCUUCCCUUCAAGGCGUCAUUGGAUCGAACAGGGCCAGAUUCUCUUCCUCUUAUCGGCGUCGGUGUCUAAUCUGUGGCUAACAAGGUACGCUCGAAUCCGUGGUGUGCUUUACGAUUGGUGAUACGUGAUUUUCCCGGGCUAGUCUUCCGCUUCGCUUUAGGGGUUCGAUUUAGUGUCGAAUCCGGUUUUCGGGGAUCCGUUAUUCCCAACAUUGGUAUCAGAGCUAGGUUCACGUUUUCCCGACUUGUUUGAUGUUUUUUGAUUGAUUUUUCGCGAAAGUAAUUCGGCCGUACGGAUCGGGGCGAGAAAUCCCGACACCCGAGCACUAUUCGUCCUUUUUCUGAGUUUCCGUAAGUCGAAAUAAAUUUCUGAAGGCACUGGGUGAAAGAGGUCGUCGAGGCGAGUCCGGCGACAUGUCGUGCGCCGCCGGGAGACGCCGCACGCGCCCACAUGCGCGGCCAGAAGGUGCUGCGCGUGGGUGCGACGCGCCCGGAAGCGUUGGCUCGCCUAGCGCAUGUGGCACACGCGCCGGUCGGCGAACUGGCACGUGCGCGCCACCGGCCGGUGAACCGGCACGCGCCGGUCGACGGACCAAUGCGUGCUGACGUCAUCGAUGACGUCAGCGCCGACGACGGUUGGCCGGGCAGUCACCGGCCGGCAACCCGACCGGCGACCUGACCUGACCCGAAUCGCGAAUGACUGGCACGUGCGCGGCACGUGCCGGCUGACGUCUGCGUGACAUCAGCUGAUGCACGCGCGCGGCGCGUGCGGUCAGUUCGUCCGACCGGCCGACCGGUUCGACCGGCCCAAUCAGUCCGACCCGCCGCCCGACGACCCGCCGCCGUUGACCGUUGACUGACCGUUGACCGUUGACUGACAACCGUUGACUGGCCGUUGACCAUUGACCCGAAAAAAAAUAAAAAAAUAAAAGGACUUGUUUCUUUUUCAAUUAUGUCUAUGUGGGUUAUAUGUAAUCCAUUGUUUAUUCUGCAUUUGUUGCAUGAAUUAUGGAAAAUUAUGUAUUUUCCCUUAUGUAAAUUAUGGAUUAUAAGUGAUCCAUUUUUAGUUCUACAUUUGUUGCAGGAACUAUGAUGCGUUAUGCAGAGAUACCUGCAAUCCCGAGAACGGUCGAGGGAAAUGCAAGACUUAAAAGGCUGAUGUCAGAUUUAGCUAAUUAUCGGUGGCAUGAUAGUGAUUUAGUAUCACAUGUGGUCAGGGUCAAUCAGAUGAUACAGGAAAUCAUCUGGAAUGGUUAUCUUAUGCCGAAUUUUGAGAAGGUGCCGGCUUUGAUGAACACUCUUCCACCUGAAUGGCAAGCAGUGUUAGAUCGGCUAUGGGAGGUCAACGUGGUCCCGGGUUAUAGGAGGCUAGUGGAAGCUUUUGUAAGAGAGUACUAUAGGAUUGAAUUGGCCAAAACUUCAACCCUUAGAUUGAGCGCCACACGGCGUAGAGUAAAUGCGCCUUGGUGGCGACAUGAAAGCUCUCCAAAAGUUUUUCCAUGGUUGGCAAAUGUGUCUUCAGUUUUCUCAGAUGUUUUGAUUGAUAGAUUAGAAUGAACAUUCCCUAUUUAUUUCUUAGAUUUAUUAUGAGAUGUUUUAUGGGUGUAAAUAUCUCUUUCCAUGUUGAUAUUUUUCUCUGUAUAUAUUGCUUAGUGUAAUGGAUAGUUGUAUUAGAUGAAAACAUUGUUAUUCUAUUGGAUAUUAGAUAUUAUUUGCUUUCUGUUAUAGUUGACUGCUGUGGGUAGUUGAUAGAAGUUUUUGUAACUUCAUCGAAUUUAUUUUGCAUAAGAUAAUUAUAUUAAUAAUAAUUUUGAGUUAGGAUUUUUGGAGGAUGAUUGGAAACAUAGUGACAUUUUGAUUCUAAAACCUUGCUUGAAAUUAUUCAUUGAUAUGAUGGGUCUAUGCAAAGUGGAUGCAUAAAUGAUAGGCAUUAAUUAUUCGUGCAUAUAUAUCUGUUGUGUUCAGAUAGAUGGUUUUAGCAACUAAGAACGUAAUUGCUGAUAUGAACGACAACAAUUGUGAAAUAUUGAAUAUGAAGAUUCAAUAUGUGCUGGAAAAGCAAGAAGCACUAGAAGCUCUUGACCAUAUUAUGGAAGAUCUUGAGGAUGCCGUGCGCCACCUUGAGCUAGUAGAGGACCGCUUAACAUCAUUUGAGUCGAAAAUAGAUAUUUGCAAUGCUGGUUCUAGCUCAGAAAGGGCUUUGAGCUCUAAGCGCAAGCGUAUUGAUUCGUUUAAUAUGUGGGAAUGCAAAAGAUCAAGUCUUUAUUACAAGAAAUCAAUAGUUAACCAACACAAGAGAGGAAAACUUCCUCAAGUGAAGAAAAUGUCAAGGGUGAGGUGUUACAAUUGUGACAAAAUAGGUCACUAUGCUCGCAACUGUUGUGAGCCGAAAAAGGUAAACACCUCUUGUACAUUUGAGAACUUUGCUUAUGUGUCAAGUUCUGCAUUAUUGGCUGAAUCCAAUCCUUUGUGGAUUGUAGAUUCAUGAGCGACAGACCAUGUAACGAAUGAUAGAGGAUCAUUCAUGGAAUUCCGACGAGUACCAACUGGAACUAAGUGGAUCUAUGUGGGAUAUAACUCCAGAGAUGAAGUUAAAGGGAUUGACACCUACCAAUUGAACAUGCGCGGUGGACGCACCUUGUUCCUACAUGAUGUUCCAUAUGCUCUAGAGAUUCGUCGAAAUUUAAUGUCUGUUUUGGUGUUGGUUAAGCUUGGUUUUAGUGUGAACUUCCGUAAUAGAGGUGUAGAUUUGUAUUUGGAUACAAACUAUUAUGGUUGUGGUCACUUUCUAGAUGGUUUCAUUGUACUAUAUGUUGAUUGUAGUGAUGUCAAUAUUUGUUAUUCCCUUGUUUCAUGUCUUCUAUUUCAUAUGAUAAUGAUGUGAUUAUGUGGCAUGAUGGACUUGGUCAUAUUUGCCAACAACGUAUGAAUAGACUAGCCAAAGAGGGCUUGUUAGGCAAUAUUGAAAAAGUCGAUUUGCCUAGAUGUGAGCAUUGCCUAGUAGGGAAAAUGACAAGGAAACCAUUUGAAAAGGUAAAAGAGCUGAAUUUCCUCUGCAUUUAAUCCAUUCUGAUGUCUGUGGUUCAAUGAAUGUGAGAGGAAGGCAUGGGGCUGUUUAUUUCAUCACCUUUAUAGAUGAUUAUACUCGAUUCGGAUAUGUCUAUUUGAUUUCUCAUAAAUUUGAAGCAAUAAGUUGUUUCAAAAGGUUUAUGAACCUGGUAGAAAAUCAAUUAGACAAGAAAAUAAAAGCAUUGAGAUCCGAUCGAGGUCGAGAAUAUUUAUCUGAUGAGUUCAGAAAAUUAUGUGAUGAAAAAGGAAUAGAAAGACUGUUGUCUAUUCCAUAUACUCCUCAACAAAAUGGUGUUACGAAAAGAAGAAAUAGAACCCUACUGGAAAUGGUUAGGUCAAUGAUGGCGCAUGCUAACUUGCCUAUCACUUUUGGAGUAUUGCGUUGUUAAAUGCUGCCUAUAUACUUAACCGGGUGCCUUCCAAAUCAAUUACUUCCACCCCAUAUGAGUUAUGGACAGGUAGAAAAUCGGACUUAAGUUUUCUUAAGCCAUGGGGUUGUGCUACCUAUACUCAUGAGUCCUCUCACAAAUUUGGGAAAUAUGGUCCCAAAGGAAAUAAGAGUAUUUUCAUGAGAUACUCCGAACACUCGAAAUGGUAUAUGUUCAUAGGUGAGCAGGAAAGUGAGAGUAUAACUGAAUUUGAAUCACGGGAUGUCACAUUCUUAGUGGAUGAAUUUCCUAAGAAGGGCGAAAUAGGGGAAGAUUACUCCCUAUUUGUAAUCUUGGAUCAAGAUAAUGAUAUUAGUGUAGUUCGUCCAAGUGGGAGUAAUAUAAGAAGUGAUGAAUUGAAUUCAACUCAUUCUCAAUUACAACCACAUGAUGAGAUGAUAUCGUCAUUAUCUAAUCCAAGUGGGAGCAUAAUGGGGAAUGAUGUGCUAAGUGUACAAUCUCCCAUACGGCGAACAAGUCGCCAAAGUAUUCCCCGUUGACGUUUUGACAUUGAAGGGGAAACUUUUAUGAUUGCUCCACAAGAUAAGGAUGAGCCAAGAAAUAUUAAUGAGGCUCUGAAUUGCCCUAGUAAGGAAAAAUGGAUUUAUGCAAUGAAAGAGGAAAUGGAGUCAAUGAAGUCAAACCAUGUUUAGGAACUGGUUGAUCUUCCAAAAGGACGUAGAGCUAUUGGGAACAAAUGGGUUCUCAAAAUAAAGCGAAAGACUGAUGGCUCGAUAGAAAGGCAUAAGGCUCGCCUUGUGGCGAAUGGGUAUAAUCAACAGGAAGGAAUUGAUUAUGAAGAUACAUUUUCUCCUGUAGUGAGAUUUACCUCGAUUCGCAUUAUUCUGGUAAUAGUGGCUAGUCUGGAUCUUAAGUUAUAUCAAAUGGAUGUAAAGACUGUUUUCCUCAAUGUAGAAUUAGAGGAAGAAGUAUAUAUGGAACAACCUACUGGUUUCAUAGUGAAAUGCCAAGAAGACAAGGUAUGUCGACUUUGGGGGUCGAUAUAUGGCCUUAAGCAGUCGUCAAGACAAUGGUAUAUGCGUUUUCAUAAUGCCAUAAUGGCAUAUGACUUUACAAUGAUAGAUGAUGAUCAUUAUGUAUAUAUCAAAAGAUCCAAUGAUCAAUUUAUGAUCAUAUCAUUAUAUGUUGAUGAUAUACUACAUUUUUGGAGUUAAGAUUUCAAGUUUGUUAAUAAUGUCAAGAGUAUUGCAAAAGGUGAAGUAUUGAGCCAUAGACUGUGUCCAAGGACUCUAUAAGAGAAGGAACAAAUGAAACAUGUUCCUUAUACUAGUGCUGUUGGAAGCUUUAUGUACGUUAUGAUGUGUACAAGACCUGACAUAUGUUUUGCAGUUGGAAUGGUGAGUAGUUACCAAUCCAAUCCAGGUCAAGCACAUUGAAAAGCCGUUAAGAGAAUACUGAGGUAUCUAAAUGGAACUGCUGAUUAUACGAUGAGUCACUAAGGAAAUGAUCUGCGACUCUAAGGCUAUUUUGAUGUUGAUUAUGGAGGAGAUUUAAAUGAAAGGAAAUCUACCUCUGGGUUUGUUUUCUUACCGAAUAAUGGCACCAUAUGUUGGAGCAGUAAGAAACAAACAUGUAUAGCCUUGUCCACGAUGGAAGUUGAGUUCGUGGCAUUAUCAGCAGCAGUAUAAGAAGGUGUUUGGCUUAAGAGAUUUUUUGGAUCAUUUAGGUGUUAUUGGAAGUGCUGCAGAUUCAUUGUUGGUUAACUAUGAUAGCCAAGCAGCAAAAGGGUACACCAAAGAUCCAAAAUAUCAUGGCAAGACCAAACCUAUAGAUACCAAGUAUAACUUUUGUCAAUGAUAUGAUUGCACGAAAAGAUGUGAACUUAGAGUACAUACUAUGCAUAGAAUGGUAGUAGAUCCUAUGAUAAAGCCGAUACCUAGAGAUGUGUUUUGUGACCAUAUGAAGUCUCUAGGAUUGCGUAGAGGCUGAUGUACUAAAUAUUGUAAUUUCCCUAAGUGUUCACAAUUUGAUGAAUUUGUGUUUUCAUCAUUAAUGCCUAUGAAUCUUUGUAUGAUCUUUAUGCAUCUUAAUGCUCAGUGCAUUACUUUAAGUUAAGAGAAGUAUGUCGGAUAGAUAUAAGAUUAGCCCACUCACACGGGUAAUCGCCUCUGUUUACUGUGUGAUAAAUAGAGAUGAUACUGUUUUUAAGCUUAUUAUCUAGGUGAUAAUCGAGAGCUCAAGCUUAAAACACGUAUGUCGCCUUAACUGAGUGUUAAGAUGAGGACAUAAUUCUUACUGUGUCCGAAAGUAAAAUAACCCACAUAUUUUACUUUAUCUGUCUAUAAUGCCAGAUGUGAGUUCUGAUGAAUUUUGUGAAUGAGUAGAUACGUGAACUCAAGUUAGACAUUGGGUAUGUCUGAACUAUCAUCUAUAUGGUAUUGAAAGGUGUAGACAUACGCUCCACGGGAAAUGAGUUAAUACCAUAAUACGUAUUUCAUACUACGUAUGCAUGAGACGACCAAUAAGAGUGGUAAAAAGUUCGAUCUCAACUUUUAUGACGUGUGAGACUCUUGAGGAAAAGAGUUCCUCAAAUUUUAGUCCCCUCAUGACUCUUACUUAUUCUCUAGAUUUCUAUUUAGUAUUUGCUAUCUUAAGAUGUUGCCAAUGGUCAUGAGUUGAUUCGAUCUAAUGGGAUAUUUCUAGAAAAGCAAGCUGAACUGAAAUUGAGAGUUUGAAAGAAAGAGGAAGAUCGAUUUUGGAGAAUCACAUUGUACUUUUGUAUUCACAGGUCGACCAAUUAUGACUGUCUUUGUGAUAAUUAUAAUUGUGAAUAAUAUAUAUAUAUAUAUAUAUAUAUAUAUAUAUAUAUCAUGUUUAAAAGAGAUUAAGAGAGAUAUAAAUGUGAUCGAUCGAUCUAGGGUACUGCAUACUAAAUCUACUCGGAGUGUGACGCCCAUUAUGAGCUGCUAUAUAUUCCUAACAGAUGUAUAGCAACGAGCUCUCAAAGUAUGCUGGUCACACGGAUUAUUCACCGGUAUGAAUGUUGAAGAGAGGUAAAGAGAAUCAUGUUCGGCCCACCAUGUGCGAGUGGGAGAUGAUGGUUUUAUUAGCGAUGGGCUUAAGGCCCGUCCGCCCAAGUUGGGCCCAAAAAGCCCGACCCACGGGAAUAAGGCCCGUGGAUGGAGGGACCUAUAAAAGGGAGGAGAGAGAGAGAGAAGACACCUCUUGAACAAUCAGAACGUACGUACGUCUUCCCCUCUCCCACGCACUCUCUCCCAAAAAGAAGAAACAGUAAGCAUAAGGCACGUUCUUCUUCCCUUCAAGGUGUCAUCGGAUCGAACAGGGCCAGAUUCUCUUCCUCUUAUCGGCGUCGGUGUCUAAUCUGUGACUAACAAGGUACGCUCGAAUCCGUGGUGUGCUUUACGAUCGGUGAUACGUGAUUUUCUCGGGCUAGUCUUCCGCUUCGCUUUAGGGGUUCGAUUUAGUGUCGAAUCCGGUUUUCGGGGAUCCGUUAUUCCCAACAGUUCUCCCCAUUGAAAAACGAAAAACAAAUCUUGCUUUAAAAAAGCAAAAUUCAUGCAAGACAUACUAGACUCCAACUUGACGUAAUUAGAUGGCUCUUUCUCUCUCUAAUUGGUUAAAACCCUCGAGUCGUUCUAUAUCCACAAACAUUACAUGUUCCAUUCAUGCAUAUUUAGAUUCUCGACUUUUGUUAAUUCUUAGAACCUACAAUAUCAAAAACAUUAUUAAGAAAAGUAUUAAAAAAAGUAUGGACUAAUUCUUGAAUGCUCUUCUUUUCGAAUGAAAAAUGGUGAACAUUUUCAUUUUCAGCCUUUAAUUAUUGGCGGAUGAAAUGCAAAUUAGUGGGGCUCAAGCCCUUAAUGAUAUGCUUGAUUGGAUAUGCUGACAAAAAAAGGCUAAGGCAAGUCCCUCCCAGUUCCAUCAUUUUGUUUUAGCAUAUAUGGGACCGAUCUUUGGUCAUUGCUAGUGAACAUGAUCCAAUAAUUGUUUUAGCAUGCACAUAGCCUCCAUGAUUACUCUCAUCCUUGGUACACUGAAGUCAUGGCAAGCAUGGAUAACAAAAACCAUAGAAUAUAUUGAAUCGUGAAAUUUGUUUGGACUCUUGUAAAAUCUCUCUAUGACUCUUUAAGCCGAAUUGACUUGAUUUCUACUCUUUACCUUGUAUAAUGCUGGAAUAAUAAACUUCAAAUAAUUAAAAUAUAUUUGUUUAAUUGAAAACUCAAGAUUAGAAAAUAUUUUUAAAAAACUGAUUGAUUUAUUGCUCACAAAAAUGAACAAAUCAAAAUUUUUCAUCAUUUACCGAAAUGCAAGUAUAAAUUGAUGUUGGCAAUGAAAUGUUAUCCAAAUCUUAAGUUUUUUCACACUCUUAGGGUGCAUUUGGUAAUGCUCUAGGAACACUUAUUUAUGUUUUUUUAUUCCCAAAAAUAGAAAUGGAAUAAAAAUGUGUUUGGUAAGUUUUUUGUUCCCAAAAAUAAAUAUGUUUUGGAAUAGUUUUGAAAUAGAAAUCAGAAUAAAAAAAAAAAAAGUUACUAUUGUUCCGUGAACAAAAAUAAAAAACGGAGUUAAUUCUCAUCCUUUUUAAAACUUCUUGGCAGACGUCUUUUUCUCUCUCACCUCUCUCUCUCGUGAAGUUUGUUUCUCCUCCUGCUCUUCGCAUCGUUCGCCGGAGAAGACAGAGUCGCGACACCUUUCCUCCUCCGUUGUUGCCGCAACUAGUCUUGAGAAACGGUAGGCGUCUCUCUCCUUGGCAAUUCUUGCUCUCUCUUUCUUUGGCGAUUCUCGCUUUGUUUUUCAUUGCUCCCCUUUGCCUUUUUUUAUUGGGGUUUGAUUUGUCGCUCGAUUGAGCGGAGAGGGUUAGUCGUAGAUCGUUUGCGUUUUGCUGUUCGUUCGAUUUCUUCCUGUCGUAGCUCGUCUCGUGUCGUUUUUGGAGGUGCUCUCACUUUCGCCAUUGACGUACGGACCACCGCUCGUGCUCUCGCUUCCCGUUCUUCUUAACAACAAAUCUGCAAUUUGGGUGUUCCCUGCAAUUCUUCUUUCCUCGUGGGUUUCUCCUCCUUUGCGGAAUCGAAGUAGUGGGUAAAAGGAAAAAUGAGAUUUUGGGGUCGAUGGUUCGUGUGUUACACAAGUGUGGUAGAAGCGGUUGCUUGAGAAGAUUACCAGUGUCACAAAGCGGUGGGUUCUCAAAAUAGUGCCGUCAAAUCCUCGAACAUUCUCGAACUCGCUCGAAAUGCUCCCCUUACCUUAUCUAUGCUUUUUAUACCUGUCUGUCCCCAGCAGAGUUUUGGCUGGGCUUUUUCUCGAAUAUACGUUUUCCAGCAUCCAUUCUUGAAUUUUCAUGCCUUUCUAUUCUCUUGUACGAGGUUCUUUGAAUUGAAAGAUUUGAAGCAACGUAUUUUUGUUCACGGUUCUCUGGGUUCUAGCAAUUUCAUGAUAAGCUCUUCAUGUUUUAAUUGUUUUAAAUUUGCUUUGAGAUUUAUUAUGUGAAGAAUAAAAGUUGGGUUUUUUUUUGUUGGUGUUUUGCUUCUUUUUGUUGGGUGGUUGUGUUUCAGAAGCGCACCUGAAGUUCGGAUUUUGGAGUCGAAAGACCAGGAGAUAAAGUAGCAUUUUUUGACUCGAAGCAGGUAUGAUCAUGAAAACUUUCACCCGCAAUCAGACAUGCAAAGUUUUAAUUUUUGGAACUGUGUUGGUGGCUUAUGUGGAAAUGAGCAUGUAUAUGCGUGGAGUGGCCUCUUUUCGCGACCUCUUUUAAUUUCUGUCUGUUUCGCUCGCUCGAGGAGGUCAGGAGGUCGGUGGUUUCUAUACAGUUUUUCCUUGUUAAGGCUCCAUGUGCAUUUAGCCUAAUCUCUGCCGAUUGGCUUUUAGUUCAAAACACUGCAGGAAUUAUCGAUGGCGAUAGUUUUCUAGCAUAUUAGGCCUCAUUCGAGUUUAUGAUUCCAAUUAGCCAAUGACGGCAUUUUUUUUUUUUUAGAUUUAGAAAACACGAGUUUAUGAUUCCAAUUCCACCUUCCUCUUUCAAGAACUUUAUAUAAUCAACUAUAAUUGACAUUUUAUAAAUUAAAUGAAAAAAAAUUGGGAAUAAAAUUUUUUUGGGAACAGAUUUUUAUUCUCGUACCAAACGCGUUUUUGUUUUUUUUUGUUUUUUUGUUCCGGGAAUAUAAAUUUUGUACAGUUACUAAACGUGCUUUUUUGCCCAGAAACUAUUCCCGAGAAUAGAAAUUGAAAAAAUUGUUUCUGAAUAGAAAUUGUUUCCGGAAACAUAAACGCUAUCAAACACACCCUUAAACUACUUUGAUGGAGCAAAACGAGAGAGGAAUUGACUCGGUUCGAUCCAAAAGAGGAACGUAAUGGAAAAUCUGAAAAGGAGCAAAAGUCAAGUACAAAUCCUAGCGUUUGAACCUCCAAAGCCAUUCCUCUGCAAAGAGAGGCGAAACGUGAGCAACAAGCAGGCGGUUACAGCCACACCUGGAAAGGAUCACUCGACAAUUCCACACAUCCAAAAAAUUAAGAAAUCUCGAGUUACCAAAAUAAGUAUAAAUAAAUUAAAAAUAAUCAUUUAAUUGUUAAAACUUGUCGAUAUCUAACUUCUGCCCAAAAGUGGUUUUCAUAUAUUUUUGGAAAACUAGAACAGAUGUUCCUCCCAAAGAAGAAGUUUAUUGGAAUUAAAGCAUUUUAUAAGCAUAUACCAUAAUUUCGACAAAUAGGAUUAGGUUCUUUCGAAUUUAUUCCCCAAAUAAAAAAAAAGAAAAAGAAAAGAAAAGCAAAGAUAAAAUGGGAACCUCCGAGAGAAAAACACACACGGCAGAAUUCAUCUUGGUUCUCCUGCUCCUUUCUUUAAAACCACACCGCCUCACUUUUUUUUCAUCCACCACCACCACCACCACCACCAUCAUCAUCAUCAUUAAACUCACGCCCACAGACUUCACUCUCAUUCAAUUCAUUUCUUGCAUGCAUAUCGAUUGUCGCCAAUCACCACCAUCUCUAGUCGUCGCUCAAUUAAUACCAUCGUUCGUCGUUGCAAGCAGCGACCACGCAUUGCCGUACCUGAAUACGCACGCGUACACAGUGAACUGCCAAACCUAGCGCUCGUGCUUGCUGGAUUGCUGUUGUGGAUCUUAUCCCAUUCGCCUGGUCAGCUCCAGGAAGUCUACUUGGAAUAGGUAAAAGACAUCUAUCUAAUUGCUCUCUUUUUCCCUUGAACUGAUGCAGCAAGUUUAAUAACAAAAUUGGGGAAAGUUGAUGUCAUAUACUUGCUGGCCACAUUAAAGUUGCAGCUUGACUGCAUAAUUCAUGGUGAUUUGUUGAUCUUAAUGUGGCUUUAGUUGUUUUAAUGAGGUGAUACAUAUGCACGCAUAAUUGUUUAAGCCAAAAUUUGGACCUCUAUUUUAUGAUUUUUCAUUACAUAUUAGGAUAGAAUUCAUUAUAUCUGUAUCAGGACAAUUAUAUUAGAAAACUUAAAAUUUUCAUUGACAAGCAUUAUCAUGCACAUCUAGGCUUUUUGGAGUGCAUUAUUAAUAAUUCUCUUCUUGCACGUUUCCUUUCAUAAAUCACAUGCUAUAAUUUGGGAAAUCUAGGAAAGUCAUAUCUUGCUUAUUAAUAAAUUUAGAUUGCAUCUUCAUUAAAAAAAAAAAAAAAAAACCGAAACAAAAAUGUGAAGUGGAACUCCCCACGAGUCAUGACGAGUAUUAUCGCCCCAUUCCUGCAUUUUUUUUUUCUUUAUCAGUUUUUUGCUGUUUUUCGUAUUUAGUUUUUCUUUUUGCUCUUUUUCCAUUUAUUAAACUUAUAUUCUGAAAAGAUAAAUGGAAAUCUAGACACAAAGUACAAUAGAGAUUAUGAAUGACUAAUGACAAUGUGAUUAAAAAUGACAAAAGUUGGACUAAAAUUAUAGUUUGUUAAUUUGAGCAAGAGAAACAAUAAUCAGUGCCAAUUGUCAAUCACACAAAAAUAGAAAAAAUCGGCACCCACGUAAUGCGUGGAAAGUCUACUAGUAAUGUAAAAGAGACAUUCGCAUGGGAACGGAAGAGGAGAGAUUUGAAAAGUGAAGCGAUAAAUCCAAUUUGCAUCUCCGUAAGUCUUGGUCUUUCUGGAUUUUAUUAAAUUUUCUUUCCAAUCAGCUCUAUACCAAUUUUGCUUCACUUUUACGACAAAAAAGUUCAUGAUACCCACUGAAGUUAUGGUCUUCUCGAGUUUAUGAUUUACUUACACGAACGAGUAUAUGAUCGUGGAAACUACAAAUGUGCGGGGAUAAUCUCUAAAUAUUACAGAACAACCACUUGUGAAAGAAAAAGUUGAAGCAAGAUGGGCGAAAAUAUCUGCUGAAAGGUGAUGAGUUAGUAACCGAUGAUGGGGAAUCGCCUAGAAAGAGAAUCAUGGUCCUUUGAACUCAAUUUUCCUGUUCAUUGGUGUGAUGAAUAAAGUAUAAUUUUUUAGUAGAUUAUACAUUGUCAUUUGGUGAUUUGUGACUUGUUCACUAUUUGCAUAGUAAAAUAAAGCAAGUUGCUUAAUGAAUUAGUAGGUGUGCUUGACCCUUUUUCUUAUUAAUCCCAAAGCACGUGUUUCCAUUCUUCUUGAUGGACAGACAAAGUUAAUUGUCUUUGAUGACAUAUGUAUAACAGAAAAUAAGAUGCAAUUAUUGGUUGAAUCCUCAAUAUGUUAUGUUUCAAAAGCAAUUAUUUUACUAAGUUGCACAAGUAUGUUUAUUUGCCAAUCGUAUUAAUUUGAUCAACUUCAUUCAUCGCUAAACAAGAAAAAAAGGAUAAGCACACCGACUAAUCCAUCAAGGAAGUUGCUUUCUCUCUCUCUGGAAAUGGUAAAUGAGUCCAGUAUUAACAAUAUAUAAUCUACUAGAUGUCACACUCUACGAACUUGAUAAUUGUGUUCCUAUCAAGGUGAUUCUCGAUUAUCGACCACUACCUUAGCACCCUUCAACAAAUCAUUGUCACCCAUCUUGAUGUGAAUCUUUAGCAUAGUAACUGCCAUGUAAAAGAAUUCAUCAAUCUCACAUUCACCAAUAAAGCAAACAAAGACAUUGAAAUCAUAAGGUUAAUAAGAAUAUACAGAUGCUAAAAAAGCCAACAAAACACUCGUGAGGGAUAACACUUAUAAUGAAAAUAUGCAAACACUCUAAGUUGGUCAUAUUAAGACGCUGUUUUGGAUGGCCAAAAGUAAAGGUCCGACAGUAAAAAAGUCUUGAUCUGAAGAAUGAGGAGAGCAAUUGACGUGACAAACACUUGUGGACAAAUAGUAUUUUAUUUUAUUUUUAUUUGUCUAACCUUUGAUGUGCAUCCCUUGAAAGUCUGGGUCUUUUUUUAAAUAUUUUUCCUAGGUCAUCGUCUUGGUCUUCCUAGACUUCAUAGUUUUUUCUCUCCAUUAGCUCAUUUUCACUUUGUUUCACCAUAACACCUUUAUUGUUCUUUACAGUAACUGAUUCACCUAUGGCCAUUGGAGAGAUCGUUUUGGGUUCCUUUUUGGCUUCGUUCUUUCAGGUCCUAUUCGACAAGUUGACUUUGUCCGCAUUAAGUUGUGCACAACAAGAUGGAAUCAACACCGUCUCGAUUGAGGAGUGGAAGGAUAUGCUGGUAACAAUCAAUGCAGUGUUGGCUGAUGCAGAGGACAAGCAACUUAGUGGUAACCAUCAAGUGAAGCUAUGGCUGGACAGGGUAAAGGACUUGGCCUAUGACAUGGAAGACUUGCUCGAUGAGUUUGCGAUAAAAGCUGCUCAUAUUGAGUUACAGGUAGAAUCUAGCACAAGUAGAAGUCUGCAAAAAUUGAAGUCCCUUUUCUUUGGCCAACCACACUCGCUUGUGUCUAAAACCAAGAUACAAGAGAUCAAUCGCAGGUUGGUAACGAUUGUCACUGGAAAGGCUAAUCUAAGCUUGAGAGAGAAUGUUAUGGACAUAUCCAACUUCACCAGUAAAAGGGAUCCAACCACUUCUCUACCCGAGUCACAGUUUUUUGGUAGGGAGGAGGAAGAAGCACAAAUACUUGAACUAUUGAUAAAUGAUGUGCGAAAUUCCAAUGACAUGCUGAGAAUAAUCCUCAUAGUUGGGAUGGGCGGUAUUGGAAAGACGGCCUUGGCUCAGCGGCUGUAUAAUGAUGCCAGAGUGAAUAGAUGUUUCGAUAGGAAAGCAUGGGUUUGUGUUUCGGAUGUUUUUGAUGUUUUCGACAUAACCAAGAAUAUUUUCCACUCGAUCACCGGGUUGUCAUGCCAGGACAAAGAUCUUAACGGGCUUCAAGUUAAGUUGAGGGACAAUCUAUCUGGGAAAAAGUUUCUUGUGGUUUUAGAUGAUAUCUGGAAUGACAAAUACGAAAGGUGGACUGCCAUCUUGAAGCCAUUUGAAGCGGGGGCUAGGGGAAGCAAGAUCAUUAUCACGACUCGCAACGGUGCUGUUGCUUCCAUAACAAAAACGUUGCCGUACUGUUUGAAGGGAUUGUCCCUUGAAAAUUGCACAAACGUAUUAGCCUUUCAUGCUCUUGGAGAAAUAAACUUUGAGAGCCACCCGAAAUUUGAAAAAAUAUGCAAGAAAAUAGCUAAAAGAUGUAAAGGUUUACCUUUGGCAGCGAAGAUGUUGGGCGGUGCCCUACGUAGUAUAACGAAUCCCGAUGAAUGGGAAGAUACCUUAAACAACAUAAUAAGGGAUCUUGCAAUGGGGGAGAAUGAUGAGGUUCUCCCUAUUUUGAAAUUAAGCUAUGUCCAUCUUCCUUCCCAUUUGAAGAGAUGUUUUUCUUAUUGUGCAAUAUUUCCUAAGGAUUAUGAAUUUGAGAGGGAUGAGCUCGUAAUCCUAUGGAUAGUAGAGGGAUUUUUAGAUGGACAAAAGAAAACUAAAAAUAAGUUGAAAUUAGGAUGGAGUUACUUCAAUGAGUUAGUAUCUAGAUCAUUUCUUCAACAAUCAAGUGUUGACACAUCUAAGUUUUCAAUGCAUGAUCUUUUGAAUGAUCUAGCAAAGUCAAUUGAGGGUGCAAUAUGCUUUAGCUCUGGGGAGUCUUAGGUGGUAGUUAAUGAAGAUCACGCAUCUCUUGGGAGAGCUCUGUUCUUCAAUAGUGGAACAGUUGCAUGCCACAAGAGCGACUGCAAAAGAGAGGCAAAAGAAUUUGGAGAAGAGUAUUAGGGAAGAGGCUCGUCGUUUGAAGGAUGAGAGUGCUGGAGAUGAAGAUACAGGUCGGAGAGGUGUGGUUGAUAGGUAUGCGGAAGGUAGUUGGUUAAAGGGACAGCGUCAGUUGCUCGAUCUUGAGAGCCUCGCUUUUGAGCAAGGUGGCCUUUUAAUGGCAAAUAGAAGGACUGAUCUUCCUGUUGGCUCCUUCAAGCAUCUCAGCAAAGGAUAUGAGGAAGUUCAUGUGCCAGUUUUGAAAACUAAACCAGAUCCCACUGAGAAGCUUGUCAAAAUAUCUUCCUUGCCCGAUUGGGCACAACCUGCUUUCAAAGGGAUGCAACAGCUGAACCGUGUUCAAAGCAAAGUCUAUGAGACUGCUCUUUUUAGUGCAGAGAACAUCCUCUUAUGUGCUCCUACUGGAGCUGGGAAAACUAAUGUAGCCGUGCUGACCAUGCUUCAGCAAAUUGCUUUGAACAGGGAUCCAGAUGGAUCAUUUAACCACAGCAACUACAAGAUUGUAUAUGUGGCACCUAUGAAGGCACUUGUUGCUGAAAUUGUUGGUAAUCUGUCCAACCGUUUACAAGAGUAUGAUGUCAAGGUGAGGGAGUUGAGUGGUGACCAGUCAUUGACCCGUCAGCAAAUCGAAGAGACUCAAAUCAUCGUCACAACCCCUGAGAAGUGGGAUAUUAUUACCCGAAAAUCAGGAGAUCGUACCUACACGCAGCUUGUGAAGCUUCUGAUCAUUGAUGAGAUUCAUCUCCUCCAUGAUAAUAGAGGACCUGUACUCGAAAGCAUUGUUGCUAGAACUGUUAGACAAAUUGAAACCACGAAAGAGCACAUUCGAUUGGUGGGAUUGUCAGCUACAUUGCCCAAUUAUGAGGAUGUUGCGUUGUUCUUGCACGUAGAUGUUAACAAGGGACUAUUUUAUUUUGAUAAUAGUUACAGACCUGUCCCUCUUUCGCAGCAGUAUAUUGGAAUAACAGUCAGAAAGCCACUGCAGAGGUUUCAGUUGAUGAAUGAUGUGUGCUACGAAAAGGUAGUAGCUGCAGCAGGAAAGCAUCAAGUUCUUAUUUUUGUCCACUCUAGGAAGGAAACAGCCAAAACCGCUCGAGCUAUAAGAGAUUCUGCCCUCGCUAACGAUACACUUCUAUCAGAAGGCUACCUGAGUCAAUUGGUGACUUGUGCAAAUUACAAGCUUUGAUCUUAAGAGGUUGCCAUCAGCUUUCAAAGUUGCCUCACGGUAUCACAAAGUUGGUCAGCUUACAGUUUCUUGAUGUUAGAGAUACAGAAAGUCUAAAAGAGAUGCCAUUGGGUAUCAAUAACUUGAAGAAUCUUACUAUCUUGUCCAAGUUUGUGGUAGGAACAGAGAAAGGGCUACAGUUAAAGGAGUUAAAGAACUUGUCGCAUCUUCAAGGAGAAUUAUUCAUAUUGAAAUUACAAAAGGUGGAAGAUGUUAGAGAUGGUGUUGAUGCUAAUUUGUUUGGAAAGCAAGGCCUAAGAAAAUUAUUCUUGCAUUGGGAUAAAGAUUUUGGAAUUCUUCGGAAUGAUAAGCGCGAAUCACGGGUGCUCGAGUCUUUGCAACCUCCCAUUGAUAUUGAAAAUCUCACUAUUUUGAACUAUGGUGGUGCAAUAUUCUCGUCAUGGUUAGAUGGUUCAUCAUAUUCUCGGAUAGUGUCUUUGAGCUUGUGGAACUGUCCUUAUGUCACAUCAUUGCCUUCGUUUGGACAACUACCUUCAUUGAGAGAAUUAUCUCUUAAAGGUCUAAAUGCAGUAAGAAUAAUAGGCUCUAUUUUUUUAUGGAGGUGAUAGGCCUUUUUCUUCCUUAAUUACUUUGUAGUUCGAAGAGAUGUUGGCAUGGAAGGAUUGGUCUCCUUAUGCAGGGGGCCAAAAGAAGAAGUCCCAUUCUCUUGUCUUGAGCAUCUUAUUGUCCGGAGCUGUCCUUCGUUGGUCAAGACAUUGCCUUGUCAACUUGAUCGUCUUAUAAAGCUUGAAAUUCAUUCAUGCCAACAAUUGAAUAACUCAACCAGUGAGUUAUGUCUUCCAUCUCUCGAUGAGUUAUACCUUGAGGAUUGUAGUAAGGAGAUCUUAAAGAGCUUGUUCAAGCUAACUUCUUUGACAAUUCUCAAAAUUAACAAACUCAUAGAGCUUGUUUCCUUUGAUCAUCGAUUUAUGAGUUGCUUGGGCAAGCUAAGGAAGCUUCAUAUAGGAUUGUGUGACAAGCUAACAUGCUUGUGGCAAGAUGGAAAUGAAACGCAAAAUCUCACUUGCCUCCAGGAAUUAACCAUUAAAAGCUGUGCUCGAUUCACAUCUUUUGUGGCAGGAGACAGAGAGAUAGAGCUACCAUGUAAAUCUUGAAAGGAUGGAAUUGGUGGAUUGCACAAGUUUAGAAAAGCUUCCGAGCAAAAUGCACGCACUUAGACAUUUGGUGAUUGAGAAUUGUCCAAAAAUCAUGGCUCUAAACAUUCCUCAAGGUGACCCUUGUAGCAAUAAUUCGAUUUCUCAACUUGAAUCUUUUAAGAUACGUCACUAUUAUGCUUCUCCGAUAUCCUUUUCAUUUGCCAAGGGUAGACUUGCUGCUCUGAAGGCACUUCAUAUAGACAAUUGUAAGGGAGUGGAGUCGUUGGAAGGGAUUGUCGUAGAAUCGCUUGAAAUAAUGACAAUUAACGAUUGUCAAAUUAUGGGAAGCUUACCACAGUGCCUUCACAUGCUCUCCCAUCUCACUCGAUUGCAUAUUUAUAAUUGUCCAGCAUUGGAGAUAGAGGACUUCCCUCCCCUUCCCUUAACCCUCUCGAGUCUUGUUCUUAAUCAUUGUUCUAAGAUAAAGUCUAUUGCCAACUGUAACAUUGCCAACUGUAACAAUCUCACUAAAUUGGAAAUAUGGGAGUGUCCGAUAUUGGAGAUAGAGGACUUCCCACCCCUUCCCAUCACCUUGUAGAGGCUUAAACUUUGGGAUUGUCCGAUGAUAAAGUCCCUGCCAAAUAAGUGGCAUCAUCUUACAUCCCUCCAAGAGCCAUUUAUUCUCGUUUUCCAAAAUAUCAAAUGCUUACCCAAAGGAGGUUUGCCUCCCAAAUUGCGAAAGCUUGUUAUUUCGGGGCUCGUGGAUCUGAAGCAACCAGUGAGAGAGUGGGGCUUACACCUGCUCACAUCUCUCGAGAGUCUGAUCGUUGAGUUUAACAUGGGAGGGGAGGGAGAGAAGGAGUGGUUUCCUUCGGAGGAUGAGGAUGCUUGGAGUCUCUUUCCUUUCUCUCUAACCUAUCUUUCGAUAUAUGAUUUGAGAAAAGCGAAAAGACUAUCGAGCGGUCUUCGCAACCAUCUCUCCUCUCUCAAGUAUUUAACGAUUGCAAAGUGCCCCAAGUUGAGGUACUUGCCAGAGGAUGGCUUCCCUCCCUCCCUCCAACAAUUGCGCAUAUAUCGAUGCAAGAUUUUGAAAGAGCGAUGUGCAAAACUCACUGGCAACUUUUGGCCCCUCAUCGAAGAGAUCCCUAAUAUCGAGAUUGAUGACUAGCCGAUCUACACUAUAGUCAGUUUUCUUAGGGAUCAGGUAAGUUAUUUUUGGUUUUGAAGGCAUCCUUUUCCAUUCUACUUUCUCAAUUCGAUGCUCAGUACGAACUAAUGUUUGGGUGGGGGAUCUCGUUGGGUUGGAUUAGCUCUGUUUCGUUGGACAAUGAACUGUAGGAUGAAAUGCUCGCAAUGCUGCCUCUUGCUAUGUUGAUGACAUAUCCUUAUUUCUAAUUGAUGCCCAAACCAUUGGUGAAUGAAAUCGCACCAUCACGAAGAAUCAUAGCAUUCCACAAUCAUAGUCCUCUGCAUUUUCAGCGUCUAUUGUCUAUUCUCUUCCCAACAUCUUUUUUACUAACUAUAAUGUAGGCCUUGCAUAGCUUGGUCAAAGAUUAUAUUUCAUCCUUCUUUUAUUCAAAUACAUGAGAAUCAUGAAGAUUCAAUGGUGUUCCACAAUCAUAUUCCUCUGCAUUUUCAGCAUCUGUUGUGUGCUAUCUUCCCAACAUCUUUUUCUCGUGCCCUAGUUCAUCCACUUUGAUUGUUUUGCAAGAUGCCAUUGUCAUAUGUAUUGGCAAAAUUUCCUGGAAGGAUCACUUGUGAAAAUUAUUGAGGUAGGGUUGUGUUGUCAAUGUUAUGUGUCAUUUUUAACAAUUUACAAGAAAGGAAGAAGCAGUUAAAUUUAUUUGGUGCACUGAUAUGCUAUAAAUUUUCUUCUUGUGAUUAUUAUCCAAAUAAGAAUUAUCUCUCUCAAAAUCUAAAAAUCAAAUUAGUCAUGUGGAAGCUGUGAUAUGAUUGUGAAGAAAAGGGAUGCAAUUUUUAUUUUUUUUUAAUUAUGGUUUUCUUUAGAAUUGAGAACCUUCUUUUUGUUGAUGAUGAUCCUUCAUAGUAUUAAGCAGUCUAUUUAGGGUGCUCAUGGCUCUAAGCUUUCAAUGCAACACAAAUUCAUGAUAGGAUCGAUAUUCAUAAACCACCUUAUUUUUAGGUCUUGAUCUCUAUUGAGUUAGGAACUAUUACCUACAACUUGCUAGAAAUUUUUAGCCAAUAUACUCAUGCUUAUUUGGUUGAGACGGUAACGAUAUCCUACCUGCGUCUAGGUUUGCAUUGUCAGUAAUGACCUCUGGGGCAAAUCUUGUCAGUUCUUUAAAUUCGUCAUACACCAUGUCGUUGUAUCUAAAAUUACCUUCUUAUGUGGCAUUCUUCCUGAGCUCACCUGGGUUCCUUGGUCUAACUGGAAAUCCUGCACUUCAUCAAUGUAUACCUUGUCUAGAUCAUCUUCUCUCUCUUUGCUACUGUUGCGCAUGUUAAAAAAAAAAAAAAAAUCAUGCAAUUUUUUUGUGAUAUCGUGAAGCUGUAUUGGAGGUUAGUUGAUAUGUAAUCUCAAUUGUGGUUCAUUGUGUACUUUCUCUGAGGCUUUUUGGAUGUUAUUGCACAUAUAACAUGGUGCUUUGACCAUGUACAUAGGUGGUUAGAUAAGCAGAGUUGCAUCUGCCAAGAUAACUUUCAAGAAACCUCACAUAGUUCUGCUUGACAAGCCAUCCAAUCAUUUAAUUGGUUUACUCAUUUUUCUUUUUCAGUUAGCUUGUUAUUGUUCUUGCACCAUUUGAACUUAUUGGAAUAUGGUCUUUACAUUGAAAAUACAGUAAAACCAAUCAAUGAUCACAGCUACAGGGAGCAUUUGUCAUUGUACAUCUAACUUACAAUGGAAUAGAGAGCAAUCUAGUUUUUCCAACUUGCAAAAUGUUGGGAAUAGAAUGGUUCUGCUAGCCUGAUCAGUGUGUUUGUAUUACAGUAAUCUAUGAUACUACCAAGUAGUUCCUAUGUUUGUGCUUCGAGGUAGUGUUGGGCUUUGCACAUAAUGAAUGUGGACCCUUUUCUUGCUUAUAAAUGUUCCCUCUUAGUUUUGCUUUAAUGAGUAGUGACUACUCAAGUGUCAUCUUUGUAAAUCGUUAGUUUCUUGUCUAGAAAUAGAUAUGAUCCUGCCUUUUCCACUAUACCCAAUUGUAGGAUUUGGAUGAGGCACUCAUUCAAGGUCUGGUCUUGUUUCUUGGAUGGAUCAUUUCGCAGCUGACAGCCCUCUUUUCGCCUUGAUUUGCAGGUUAGUCUCGAUGAGCAUCUAAUAUCUAGAAGCGUAGACAAGCUAUUGGUGGUUUCUCAAGGCAAGGUGGCGGCUUUCCAUGGGAAUUUCCAGGAAUAUAAGAGUUUGGAUGUCCUGAGGGUAUCUCUGGGGUUAUUGCCUUCAUCAUCUGCACUAACGGUGGAGGACAAACAUCCCAAAAUGAAGUAGAAAUUGGUUGAGCUCGCCCAAUCUCUGAAUGCAGCAUGUGUGGAAUAACGAAUUUAUCAAGUCGAUGCAUCUUCUAUAACCUUAACGUCCGGCUAGGAAAGAGAGAAUCUCCCGGACAACAAAUUCCUUCCAAAGAGCCACCAAUUCCACCGGUUCCCCACAAAAGUAACACUCGAGGAUACAAUCGUGAAAGAGGGAAAAACCCUAGCCUAAGCUCGUCGGAUGCAGGCGACGAACUAGAGCCGCCGGUAGAGCUUCCGGAGGUGACGGCGGAGGCGGAGGCAGAGGCAGCGACGUGGUCGGGAGUGACGAGGAAGACACCUUCGCUGUAAUGGGAGCGAAGCGCGCGCACGGAAGGUUCAAGCUCGAGCUCGCUGGGCCCAGAUGGCAUAUCGGAGCCGCUGAUGGGCUCCGGAAUGCGACGAGCGGAGGCGGGGGCGGAGGCGGCGGCGCAGUUCGUCCGAGGAAUAGAGAGGAGCCUGGGAUUGAGAGGGAAGAGAGCGAGGGAGAGGAGAGAGAGGGAAUUUCAAAAUAUCUUUUAGGUGGGAUCCUACUGUACAGGUGGUGAGACUUGAGAGAGAGAAGGAACACUUUUUAUAUGCCGGCAAUAAAAAAGAUCUCAAAUUCCGCUCAAGCUACUCAUAUUCCCUAAGUCACUAUUUCAAAACCUACAAAGUAAUUUAAUGCGUGUCUUGAUAAAUAAAUAAAUAAGCAAAAGACAUAGUAACUUAGUAUGAAUUGGAGCAAAUGAUCGGUAACCUCACAUGUGGAUUACAGUUAGCUUUACCGGUUCUUUGUAUUUGCCUCUGUUGGCACAUGAAUUUUCUCGAAAAAAUCAAGUAUUGCAUUUUUUAAAAUAGAUAAACAAUAGUAAUAAGAACAAAAAAUAGAUAAACAAAUUAACAAAUAACAAAAGAAGAAGAAGACGCGGAAGGAGGAGGAGGAGGAGAAAAAAAUAAUAAAGCCUCGGCCCUAUUCAGUCCAGUCCAGUCCAGUCCACAAAGCCCAUUCAAAUCCACGGCCUCAAUCCAUCAGCCCAUUCGUUGAUUGAAAACGGUCCUGAACUGAUUUUGUACGACUUUGGUCUCAAAUCCGAGUUCAGCGAUGCCUCCUUUAAAUCCUCACUCGAUGCACGUAAACUGUUCGAUGAAAUGUCGCUGAGAUAGGGUUGUGUAAUGGUUCUUCCAUAAUUGUCUAAUCUUAAGGCAAAUUGACAUAGUUUACAUGAUAUUUUUUGUUUUUUCUUUUAGCUGUUAGGCAUGAUUUGUUAGACACGUAACCUGCAUUUCAUUUGUUCUGCGUUUCGCAUGUUCGUUUGGCUACAUUGCUUCGGCUAGUCGUUGCAUUAGAUUAAUGCCAAAAAAUUAUGUCGGCGUCAUUAUUCACUAGGCGACAUGGAGACCAUACCCAUCCGAUCGAUCCAUCCUCCAAACGGAAUUCCUUUCGCCAACAGAUAAUAUUUGGUUUUCCAUCUAAUCGUGUUCCAUGGCAAUUCGAACAGGAAGUGGCACGCGUAACCAAAAACUAGAAUUAAUUACUCUAGAACAAAGUUAAAAUGCAGGAAGUAGAAAAUUAAGUCAAUAAAUUGAAAGAUACAUAAUUUGAAUUGAUGAUCUUGUAUCCCUUGCACAAAUAAUCCAACAUGGCUUAUAUAACCCUAUCGCUAGACGUAACCGCUCCUAAGUGGUCAGUAUUCAAAUUAAAGGUUACAAACUGCAACUCCAUGAUCUUAGGCUCUAUGAACAAAUUCCAUGAUUGCACAUUAACUUUAUCCAUAUGCGGCAGUGAAAUCAAAUAACACAUUUCCACAAUGUUGGCGUACAAAACUUGAUUCGGUUUUCAAAUAACAUGUUGUGAAAUCUUCACUUUUGUGGUCUUGGGUUCAAAUCUUAUUGGAAGCGCUCCAGAAGUAAAAUUCUGAGUGCAGUAGGCUGAUGUCUGCAAGUACCUCCUUACAUAUCACUUGGAGUGGUGGAUCAAUCUAAAUGCACAAAAACUGGCCAGGACACUAUUUUAACACUAAAACCGAAAAAGAAAUGAAAGGAAGAAGCUUCAACUACAUUUUUGGUCUCUCUCUCUCUCUCUCUCUCUCUCUCUCUCUCUCUCUCUCUCUCUCUAUACCGGCGGUGGCAACAAUGUGAAGAAAAACGAAAGAUGGUAACAAAAACUGAUUAGGAAAAGUUUAGAAAAUUGUCAAAAAAAUUUACAAAGAUUGGAGUAAGUUAUCAUAUGGAUUUGUAAGUGGGUUUCAAGUGCCAAGCCUUUCUGUAAACAGAGCACCAGGGCCACAGGCCCAAUCAAAUGAGACCAAGAGCACUUUGCCUAAGUCCAUGAAUCAAACGGAACCAUAUAGCAUCGGCAAAACAGGAAAAUCAAACAAUAAAAAAAAAUUAUAAUAAAUUUAAAAAAAUGACGACGAUGAUGAUGAAAAUUCUAACUUGCUUUUACGUUAUUAUUACUUUAAUUUGUUUACGUUCUUGUGUUUAAUAUCAUUAUUGAAACCGUAGGCAAUUAUCCUUUGCCAAAAUUAGACUUUGACUUGAUUUUGAAAAUUAGCUCACUGGUCGAUGUCCCCAAACGUAAUAAUAAAGCAAUGUAUACUUUGCUCGUCUCGUUUCGGAUUUACUUUCCACACUUUAUUUUUACUCGUCCUUUAGUAUCAUUUUGAUGUGUCAUGCUGUUUUCAUUAUAUUGAUUUCGUGAUGUAAUUUCUUUAGAUUCAUUCAAUGAGUAUAUUACACUUUAGAGUCAAUCUUGAUCAAACAAGCAUGCAUGGACACGUUGUGGAGAAUACUACUACGUGUAAUCAUAUCUUUGAAUUCUCUAGCUUAUAUAAAGUAACGUGUUUUCCCGUUAGCUCCUAACUGGUUCCAAUAGGCUAGUAAUGAGUAUAUUUCUCAAUGUUAUGUGCGGUUAGGAUUUCAAAGAGCUCACACCGAAGGAGAGGGAUCACACGUUCCCGUUCAAUAAGCUAUUAAACCCACUCAUCCCGCUCGGGAGCAUCGCAAUAGCCUCUGACUGCCUUUGCACUUACUAUCGGCAUUUCAAUUUUUACCAAAAUAUUACGAAGGCAAUUUAAAUUCAGCAUCUUAUCAACUCGAUUGAAUCUGUCUCAGUAUUGUGUUGAUCUUGAAUCACUUGAGUCAGUUAGAAUGUUCUGCCCUCUCGGAACCAGAUCGUCUUCUCUGCCUGCUGCUCCUCUCUGCAACUUUGACCUUCAUGGUCGUAUCUGUUUGGGAAUGACUGAUCCCCGAAAACCGGAUUCGACACCGAAUCGAAUCCCUAAAUCAAUGCGGAAGACGAAGCCCGGGAAAAACACGUAUCACCGAUCGUAAAGCACACCGCGGAGUCGAGCGUACCUUGUUAGCCACAGAUUAAACACCGUCGUCAAUGGAGGAAGAGAGUCCAGUCGAUGAAGCCUUGAAGGGAAGAAAUUGGAAGCCGUAUGCCUUACUGUUCUUCGGGAGAGAAAACGCGCGGGAGAGAAGCGUACGUUGAUUGUGCCAAAGGGUGCUUCUCUCUCUCUCUCUCCUCCCUUUUAUACCUUCCCCCAUCCACGGGCCCUAUUCCCGUGGGCCGGGCUUUUUGGGCCCAACUUGGGCGGACGGGCCAACUCAGGCCCAUCUCAUAAAUCCAUCAUCUCCCACUCGCACAUGGUGGUACAAAACCAACAUGGGCGGACAGGCCCUACUCAGCCUCAUCAAAGAAAAAUCCAUCAUAGACUUUCUCUUAACACGGUGGGCCGAACAGAAUUCUCUUUUACUCUCUUCAACAUUCAUACCAGUGAAUAAUCCGUGCGACCAGCAUACUUUGAGAGCUCGUUACUAUACAUAUGUUAGGAAUAUAUAGCAGCUCAUAAUGAGCGUCACACUCCGAGUAGAUUUAGUAUGCAGUACCCUAGAUCGAUCGAUCACAUUUAUAUCUCUCUUGAUCUCUUUCAAACAAUGAUAUAUUGUAUUCACAAUUAUGAUUAUCACAAAAACAGUCAUAAUUGGUUAACCGGUGAAUACAAAACUACAAUUUGAUUCUCCAAAAUCAAUCUUCCUCUUCCCUUCAAACUCUCAAUUUCAGUUCGGCUUGCUUUUCUAGAAAUGCCCCAUUAGAUCGCAUCAAACUCAUGACCAUUGGCAACAUCCUAAGAUAGCAAACACUAAAUAGAAAUCUUAAGAAUAAGUAAGAGUCAUGAGAGGACUAAAAAAUUGAGGAACUCUUUUCCUCAAGAGUCUCACACGACAUAAAAAAAAGUUGAGAUCAAACUUUUGCCACUCUUAUUGGUCGUCUCAUGCAUACGUAGUAUGAAAUACGUAUUACGGUAUUAACUCCUUUCCCAUGGAGCGUAUGUCUACACCUUUCAAUACCGUACAGAUGAUAGUUCAGACAUACCCAAUGUCUAACUUGAGUUCACGUAUCUACUCAUUUACAAAAUUCAUCAGAACUCACAUCUGGCAUCAUAGACAGAUAAAGUAAAAUAUGUGGGGUAUUUUACUCUCGGACAUAGUAAGUAUUAUGUCCUCAUCUUAACACCCAGUUAAGGCGACAUACGUGUUUUAAGCUUGAGCUCUCGAUUAUCACCUAGAUAAUAAGCUUAAAAACAGUCUCAUCUCUAUUUAUCACAUAGCAAAUAGAGGCGAUUACUCGUGUGAGUGGGCUAAUCUUUUAUCUGUCCGACAUACUUCUUAACUUAAAAAUAAUACACUGAGCAUUAAGAUGCAUAAAGAUCACACAUAGAUUCAUAGACAUUAAUGAUGAAAACACAAAUUCAUCAAAUGUGAACAUUUAGGGAAAUUACAAUAUUCAGUACAUCAACCUCUACGCAAUCCUAGAGAUUUCAUAUAGCCACAAAACACAUCUCUAGGUAUUGGCUUUGUCAUAGGAUCUGCUACCAAUCUUAUGCGUAGUAUGUACUUUUAGUUCACAUCAUUUCGUGCAACCAUAUUUUAAACAAAGUUAUACUUGGUAUCUACAUGUUUGGUCUUGCCUUGAUAUUUUGGAUCUUUGGUGUACGCUUUUACUACUUGGCUAUCAUCGUUAACUAAUAACGAAUCUGCAGCACUUCCAAUAACACCUAAAUGAUCCAAUAAUCUCUUAAGCCAAACAUCCUCAUAUACUGCUGCUGAUAAUGCCACGGACUCAGUUUCCAUCGUGGACAAGGCUAUACACUGUUGUUUCUUACUGCUCCAACAAAUGGUGCCAUUAUUCGGUAAGAAAACAAACUAAGAGAUAGAUUUUCUUUCAUCUAAAUCUCCUUCUCAAUCAGCAUCAUAAUAGCCUUAGAGUCGCAGAUCCUUUCCUCAAUGACUCAGCGUAUAAUCAGCAGUCCCCUUUAGAUACCUUAGUAUUCUUUUAACGGCUUUCCAAUGUGCUUGACCUGGAUUGGAUUGGUAUCUACUCACCAUUCCAACUGCAUAACAUAUGUCAGGUCUUGUACACAUCAUAGCGUACAUCAAGCUCCCAACAGCAGUAGCAUGAGGAACAUAUUUCGUUUGUUCCUUCUCUUGUGGAAUCCUUGGACACAGUCUAUGGCUCAAUCCUUCACCUUUUGCAAUAGGAGUGUCUUUGGGUUUACUAUCCCAUAUCCUUCAACUCAAAGUUGGAAGACAACCGACUUUUGACAAUAUUGACAGGCUCCAUAUUGCUUCCGGCAAUUGGUAUAUCAUCAACAUAUAAUGAUAUGAUCACAAAUUGAUCAUUGGAUCUUUUGAUAUAUACACAAUGAUCCUCAUCUAUCAUUGUAAAAUCAUAUGCCAUUAGGGUAUUAUGAAAUCGUAUAUACCAUUGUCUUGACGACUGCUUAAGGCCAUAUAUCGACCUCGAAAGUCGACAUACCUUUUCUUUUUGGCCUUUCACUAUGAAACCAACAGAUUGUUCCAUAUAUGUUUCUUCCUCUAAUUCUCUAUUGAGGAAAGCAGUCCUCACAUCCAUUUGAUGUAACUCAAGAUCCAUACCAAACACUAUUGCCAGAAUUAUGCGAAUCAAGGUAAAUCACACUACAGGAGAAAAUGUAUCUACAUAAUCAAUAUCUUCUUGUUGAUUAUACCCCUUCGCCAUAAGGUGAGCCUUAUGCCUUUCUAUCGAGCCAUCAGUCUCUCGCUUUAUUUUGAGAACCCACUUGUUCCCAAUAGUUUUGUGUCCUUUUAGAAGAUCAACCAGUUCCCAGACUUGGUUUGAUUUCAUUGACUCCAUUUCCUCUUUCAUUGCAUGAAUCCAUUUUUCCUUAUUAGGGCAAUUCAAAGCCUCAUUAAUAUUUCUUGGCUCAUACUCAUCUUGUGGAGCAACCAUAAAAGUUUCCCUUUCAAUGUCAAAACAUCGACGGGGAAUACUUUGGCGACUUGUUCACCGUAUGGGAGAUUGUACACUUAGCACAUCAUUCCCCAUUAUGCUCCCACUUGGAUUAUGUAAUGAUGAUGUCGUCACAUCAGGUGGUUACAAUUGAGAAUGAGUUGAAUUCAAUUCAUCACAUCUCAUAUUACUCCCACUUGGACGAACUCAACCAAUAUCAUUAUCUAGAUCCAAGGUUUCAAAUAGGAAAUAAUCUUCUCCUAUUUCGCCCCUCUUAGGAAAUUCAUCCACUAAGGAUGUGACAUCCCAUGAUUCAAAAUUCAGUUAUUCUCCCACUUUCCUGCUCACCUACGAACACAUACCCUUUCGAGUGUUCGGAGUAUCUCAUAAAAAUACUCUUCUUUCAUUUGGGACCAUAUUUCCCAAAUUUGUGAGAGGAUUCAUUAUAGGCAGCACAACCCCAUGACUUAAGAAAACCUAAGUCCGGUUUUCUACCUAUCCAUAACUCAUAUGGAGUGGAACUAACUGAUUUAGAAGGCACCCGGUUAAGUAUUUAGGCAGCAGUUAACAACGCAUCACUCCAAGAAGUGAUAUGUAAGUUAGCAUACACCAUCAUGGACCUAACAAUUUCCAGUAGGGUUCUGUUUCUUCUCUCUGCAACACCAUUUUGUUGAGGAGUAUAUGGAAUAGACAACUAUAUUUCUAUUCCUUUUCAUCACAUUAUUUUCUGAACUCAUCAGAUAAAUAUUCUCGACCUCGAUCGGAUCUCAAUACUUUUAUUUUCUUGUCUAAUUGAUUCUCUACCAGGGUCGUAAACCUUUUGAAACAACUUAUCGCUUCAGAUUUAUGAGAAACCAAAUAGACACAUCCGAAUAAAGUAUAAUCAUAUAUUAAAAGUGAUGAAAUAAACAGCCCCAUGCCUUCCUCUCACAUUCAUUGAACCACAAACGUCAUAACGGAUUAAAUGCAGAGGAAAUUCAGCUCUUUUACCUUUUCUAAAUGGUUUCCUUGUCGUUUCCCUUCUAGGCAAUGCUCACAUAUGGACAAAUCAACUUUUUCAAUAUUGCCCAACAAGCCCUCUUUGGCUAGUCUUUUCAUAUGUUGCUGGCCCAUAUAACCAAGUCUAGCAUGCCACAUAUUCACAUCUUUAUCAUAUGAAGUAGAAGACGUGAAACAAACAUUCACAUCAUUAUCAUGUGAAGUAGAGAAGACGUGAAACGAGGGAAUAACAAUUAUUGACAUCGCCACAGUCAACAUCUAAUACAAUAAAACCAUCAAGAAAGUGACCACAACUAUAAUAGUUCGUAUCCAAAUACAAAUCUACACCUCUAUUAUGGAAGUUCAUAUAAAAACCAAGCUUGACCAACAUCAAAACAGACACUAAAUUUCGACGAAUUUCCGGAGCAUAUAGAUCUUCAUGUAGGAACAAGUUGCGUCCACCACGCAUGUUCAAUUGGCCGGUGCCAAUCCAUUUAACUUCAUCUCUGGAGUUAUUUUCUACAUAGAUGCACUUAGUUCCAGUUGGUACUCGUCAAAAUUCCAUGAAGAAUUCUCUAUCCUUCGCUAUAUGGUAUGUUACAUCUGAAUCUAUAGCCCACAAAGGAUUGGAUUCAGCCAAUAAAGCAGAACUUGACACAUAAGCAAAGUUCUCAAAUGUACUAGAGGUGUAUACUUGCUUUGGCUCACGACAGUCGCAAGCAUAGUGACCUCUCUUGUCACAAUUGUUACACCUCACCCUUGACAUUUUCUUUACUUGAGGACGUUUUCCUCUCUUGUGUUGGUUAACCCUUGAUUUCUUGCAAUAAGGACUUGAUCCUUUGCAUGCCCAUAUAUUGAACGAAUCAAUACGCUUGCGCUUAGAGCUCAAAGCCCUUUCUAAGCUAGAACCAACAUUGCCAAUAUUUAUUUUCGGCUCAAAUGCCAUUAGGCGGUCCUCUACUAGCUCAAGGUGGCGCACGGCACCCUCAAGAUCUUCCAUAAUUUGGUCAAGAGCUUCUAGUGCUUCUUGCUUUUACAGCACAUAUUGAAUCUUCAUAUUCAAUAUUUCACAAUUGUUGCCGUUCAUAUCAGCAAUCACAUUCUUAGUUGCUGAAACCAUCAGUCUGAACACAUCAGACAUACAUGCACGAAUAAUUAAUGCCUAUCAUUUAUGCAUCCCUAUUUACAUAGACCCAUCAUAUUAAUGAAUAAUCUCAAGUAAGGCUUCAGAAUCAAAAGGUCACUACGUUUCCAAUCAGCCUCCAAAAAUCCUAACUUAAAACUAUCAUUAAUAUGAUUGUCAUAUGUAAAAUCAAUUCUAUGAAACUACAAAAACUUCUAAAACUACCCACAGCUAAUUACCCACAGCAACCAGCAAUAACAAAAAGCAAUAUAUAAUAGAAUAUCGAAUAAAAUAACAACGCUUUCACAUGAUACAACUAACAUAUCGGUUGCUACAUCAACAACAAUCAGGUAGUAAACAUUACAUAAUUAAUCAAAGAAAUAAUUAGGGAAAGUCCCUUCUAAUCUAUCAGUCAAAACAUCUGAGAAAACCGAAGGCACAUUUGCCAACCAUGGAAAAAUUUUUGGAGAGCUCUUAUGUCGCCACCAAGGCGCAUUCGCUCUGCGCCAUGUGGCGCUCAAUCUAAGGGUUGAAGUUUUGGCCAACUCAAUCCUAUAGUAUUCUCUUACAAAAGUUUCCACUAGACCUCUAUAACCCGGGACCACGUUGACCUCCCAUAGCCGAUCUAACACUGCUUGCCAUUCAGGUGGAAGAGUGUUCAUCAAAGCCGGCACCUUCUCAAAGUCCAGCAUAAGAUAACCAUUCCAGAUGAUUUCCUGUAUCAUUUGAUUGACCUUGACCAUGUGUGAUACUAAAUCACCAUCAAGCCACCGAUAAUCAGCUAACCCUUUCAUCAGCCUUUUCAGUCUAGCUCUUCCUUCGUCCGUUCUUGGGAUUGCAGGUAUCCGUGCAUAACGCAUCAUAAUUCCUGCAACAAAUGCAAAACUAAAAUGGAUCACUUAUAAUCCAUAAUAAACAAAAUGGAAAAUACAUAAAUUUCCAUGAUUCAUGCAACAAAUGCAGAAUAAAAAUGGAUUACCUACAACCCACACAGGCAUAAUUGAAAAAAGAAACAAAUUCCUUUUUUUUUUUUUUUUUUUUUCGGGUCAACGGUCAAAGUCAACGGUCAACGGUCGUCGGACCGGCCGGACCGGACGGACCGGUCGGGCCGGUCGGAUCGCUCGCGCGGACCGACGCACGUGCCGCGCGCGUGCGGGGGAUGACAUCACGCAGACGUCAUCCGCACGUGCCUGCCACGUGCCUUGGUCUCCGGUGGGUCGGGUCGCCGGCUGGUGACCGCCCAGCGAAACGUCGUCGGCGAUGACGUCAUCGGUGACGUCAGCACGCGUCGGUCCGCGGACCGGCGCGUGCCGUUUCGCCGGUCGCCGGCGCGCACGUGCCGGUUCGUCACCGGCGCGUGUGGCGCACGCGCUGGCCAUUGCCAGCGCUUCGGGCGCGUGGCGCCCACGCGCAGCGGCUUGUGGCCGCGCGUGUGGGCGCGUGCGGCAUCUUCCGGCGACGCACGACAUGUCGCCGGACUCGUCUCGUCCUCGCCUUUCACGCAGGGCGUACAGUGCUCGGGUGUCGGGAUUUCACGCCCCGAUCCGUACGGCCGAGAAUUUUUUACGAAAAAUCAAUGAAAAACAUCAAAUUGAUCGGGAAAAACUUGAACUAGGGCUCUGAUACCAAUGUUGGGAAUGACUGAUCCCCGAAAACCGGAUUCGACACCAAAUCGAAUCCCUAAAUCAAUGCGGAAGACGAAGCCCGGGAAAAACACGUAUCACCGAUCGUAAAGCACACCACGGAGUCGAGCGUACCUUGUUAGCCACAGAUUAAACACCGUCGUCAAUGGAGGAAGAGAGUCCGGUCGAUGAAGCCUUGAAGGGAAGAAAUUGGAAGCCGUAUGCCUACUGUUCUUCGGGAGAGAAAACGCGCGGGAGAGAAGCGUACGUUGAUUGUGCCAAAGGGUGCUUCUCUCUCUCUCUCUCCUCCCUUUUAUACCUUCCCCCAUCCACGGGCCCUAUUCCCGUGGGCCAGGCUUUUUGGGCCCAACUUGGGCGGACGGGCCAACUCAGGCCCAUCUCAUAAAUCCAUCAGUUGCUCUAGUCAUCCACUUAGCGGUGAUCCUUUGACGCGGUUUUGGCUCCCGAUGCUCAAGGAGCUGCUGGGGAGGCAUAUGUUGGCACAAGAUCGCUAGUAGCAGGAUCCUCUGCCACGAUUACCAUGUGACGAUGGAGUUUAACAUAAUUUCGAGCCUUUGGAUAUAGACAUCCAGCUUCAAAUUCAUUUAUAUAGUUUAAAUUCAAGUCACGGAUCAUUUGGUUAGAAGCUUCCGAUAGUGCAUGAUUGUGACUUCUCCUGAAUAACAAUAAUUAGCAUGUACACAUUGCAUUUUCAACAAGUCAUAACGCUAUUUCGCUUUUAGUAAUAAUAGAGGAAGGGUUUGGCUUGCUCUGAACAAGUAGGCCAACUUGUUCUCUACUAGAAGGAAACGUUUGGCUGAGGCAAGUCGACUUGUCAACUUGUUUUCUAGAAGUGACGGUUUGGAACCUCAACUUAAGAUUCACGGCUAGUUUCUCUUCCUUCUUUAAUGGCAAGUUGACUAAGAUUUGGAGGCCAACUUUGAUUUUUCUUCUUGACGGCCAAUAUAGGAUGUUGAUUAUUCAACACCACCCUCUUUUGAUCUGCCCAGUCCCCUACAGACCUGUCCUAGUCGUAGCUCCGUCGAUAUUAUCUUCUAUCGUUGUAAGCAGUGGCCACCCAUUGCCGUAGCAGAGUUCCCACGCAUACACCGUGAAUUGUCGAACCUAGCGCUCGUCCCCCCUGCUCAGCAGUUUUCUCUUCCUGCUCGUCCAAACCUGGCGCUCGUCCUUGCUGGAUUGCUGUUUUUGAUCUAAUCUUGUUCACCGGUCAGCUCCAGAAAGUCUACUCGGAAUAGGUAAAUCUCUUUUCCCCUCAAGCUGAUUCAUCCAGAACCUCACUGCUAAAGUAUCUGGUAGGCCUUUAUUACACGGGAGCAGCCACCAGUCAUUUCUGAAAUCUUUCUAUAUAUUUGAAGCAAAAGAAGAGGUGGCAGCAGCAACAAUAUUUUCGUUCUUAAACUGACUUCAUGCCUGUCUAUAUUCCCGAUUGCAAGUUUAAUAACAAAAUUUUAGUAGAAGUUGAUGUCAAAUACUUGCUGUCCCGAUUAAAGUUGCGUCAUGGUGAUUUGUUGAAUAUUUUUGCCAUCCAUGUUUAUGAAAUUGCAUAUGGCUAGGUCACUCUCGAUCACGUCUUCACGUGUAAUUUCAUGAAUUUACAUGUGUCAAAUUUCAUAAAAGUCAUCCACGGCAUGUUAUACACAUUCGUUGCAUUCUAGAUUGUAUAUUAGGGGAGGUGUUUAACAAAACUACGUGUAGAGUUAUUAGGUGUUGCACAUUUAGGAAAUUGCAUAUCAUACAUUUACAUAUUUAGGGAAAGUCAUAUUCACAUUUUUAAGUGUGUUCAUAUUUGCUGAUUUGGACAGACUUAGGAUUUUUCAUUACAUAUUAGGAUGGAAUUUCAUCAUAUUCGUGUCAGGAUAAUUAUAUUCGAAAAAUUACAAUUUCAUGGACAAGCAUUAUCAUAUCCCACGGACUCCACUCUCAUUCAAUUAAUUUCUUGCAUGCAUAUCGAUUGUCGCCAAUCACCACCAUCUCUAGUCGUCGCUCCAUCAAUACCAUCGUUCGUUGUUGCAAGCAGCGACCACGCAUUCCCGUAGCUGAAUACGUACGCGUACACAGUGAACUGCCAAGCCUAGCGCUCGUGCUUGCUGGAUUGCUGUUGUGGAUCUAAUCCCGUUCGCCUGGUCAGCUCCAGGAAGUCUACUUGGAAUAGGUAAAAGACAUCUAUCUACUUGCUCUCUUUUUCCCUUGAACUGAUGCAGCAAGUUUAAUAACAAAAUUGGGGAAAGUUGAUGUCAUAUACUUGCUGGCCAGAUUAAAGUUGCAGCUUGACUGCAUAAUUCAUGGUGAUUUCUUGAUCUUAAUGCGGCUUAGUUGUUUUAAUGAGGUGAUACAUCUGCAUGCAUAAUUGUUUAAGCCAAAAUUUGGACCUCUAUUUUAUGGUUUUUCAUUACAUAUUAGGAUAGAAUUCAUUAUAUCCGUAUCAGGACAAUUAUAUUAGAAAACUUAGAAUUUUCAUGGACAAGCAUUAUCGUGCACAUCUAGGCUUUUGGAGUGCAUUAUUAUUAAUUCUCUUUUUGCACGUUUCCUUUCAUAAAUCACAUACUAUAAUUUGGGAAAUCUAGGAAAAUCAUAUCUUGCUUAUUAAUAAAUUGAGAUUGCAUCUUCAUAAAAAUGUGAAGUGGAACUCCCCGCGAGUCACGAAGAGUCUUAUCGCCCCAUUCCUGCAUUUUUUUUCUUUAUCAGUUUUUUGCUGUUUUUCGUAUUUAGUUUUUCCUUUUGCUCUUUUUCCAUUUAUUAAACUUAUAUUCUGAAAAGAUAAAUGGAAAUCUAGACACAAUUCCAAUAGACAAGUACAAUAGAGAUUAAUGAAUGACUAAUCACAAUGUGAUUAAAAAUGACAAAAGUUGGACUAAAAUUAUAGUUUUGUUAAUUUGAGCAAGAGAAACAAUAAUCAGUGCCAAUUGUCAAUCACACAAAAAAAAGAAAAAAUCGGCACCCACGUAAUGCGUGGAAAGUCUACUAGUAAUGUAAAAGAGACAUUCGCAUGGGAACGGAAGAGGAGAGAUUUGAAAAGUGAAGUGAUAAAUCCAAUUUGCAUCUCCGUAAGUCUUGGUCUUUCUGGAUUUUAUUAAAUUUUCUUUCCAAUCAGCUCUUUACCAAUUUUGCUUCACUUUCACGACAAAAAAGUUCAUGAUAUCCACUGAAGUUCUGGUCUUCUCGAGUUUAUGAUUUACUUACACGAACGAGUAUAUGAUCGUGGAAACUACAAAUGUGCGGGGAUAAUCUCUAAAUAUUACAGAACAACCACUUGUGAAAGAAAAAGUUGCAGCAAGACGGGCGAAAAUAUCUGCUGAAAGGUGAUGAGUUAGUAACCGAUGAUGGGGAAUCGCCUAGAAAGAGAAUCAUGGUCCUUUGAACUCGAUUUUCCUGUUCAUUGGUGUGAUGAAUAAAGUAUAAUUUUUUAGUAGAUUAUACAUUGUCAUUUGGUGAUUUGUGACUUGUUCACUAUUUGCAUAGUAAAAUAAAGCAAGUUGCUUAAUGAAUUAGUAGGUAUGCUUGACCCUUUUUCUUAUUAAUCCCAAAGCACGUGUUUCCAUUCUUCUUAAUGGACAGACAAAGUUAAUUGUCUUUGAUGACAUGUAUAUGUAUAACAGAAAAUAAGAUGCAAUUAUUGGGUGAAUCCUCAAUAUGUUAUGUUUCAAAAGCAUUUAUUUUACUGAGUUGCACAAAUAUGUUUAUUUGCCAAUCGUAUUAAUUUGGUCAACUUCAUUCAUCGCUAAACAAGAAAAAAGCGAUAAUCACACUGACUAAUCCAUCAAGCAAGUUGCUUUCUCUCACUCUGGAAAUGGUAAAUGAGUCAAAUAUUAACAAUAUAUAAUUAACUAGAUGUCACACUCUACGAACUUGAUAAUUGUGUUCCUAUCAAGGUGAUUCUCGAUUAUCGACCGCUACCUUAGCACCCUUCAACAAAUCAUUGUUGCCCAUCUUGAUGUGAAUCUUUAGCAUGGUAACCGCCAUGUAAAAGAAUUCAUCAAUCUCACAUUCACCAAUAAAGCAAACAAAGACAUUGAAAUCAUAAGGUUACUAAGAAUAUACAGAUGCUAAAAAAGCCAACAAAACACUUGUGAGGGAUAACACUUAUAAUGAAAAUAUGCAAACACUCUAAGUUGGUCAUAUUAAGACUCUAUUUUGGAUGGCCAAAAGUAAAGGUCCGACAGUAAAAAAGACUUGAUCUGAAGAAUAAGGAGAGCAAUUGACGUAACAAACACUUGUGGACAAAUAGUAUUUUAUUUUAUUUCUAUUUGUCUAACCUUUGAUGUGCAUCCCUUUAAAGUCUGGGUCUUUUUUAAAUAUUUUUCCUAGGUCAUUGUCUUGGUCUUCCUAGACUUCAUAGUUUUUUUCUCUCCAUUAGCUCAUUUUCAAUUUGUUUCACCAUAACACCUUUAUUGUUCUUUACAGUAACUGAUUCGCCUAUGGCCAUUGGAGAGAUCGUUUUGGGUUCCUUUUUGGCUUCAUUCUUUCAGGUCCUAUUCGACAAGUUGACUUCGUCCACAUUAAGUUGUGCACAACGAGAUGGAAUCAACACCGUCUCACUUGAGGAGUGGAAGGAUAUGUUGGUAACAAUCAAUGCAGUGUUGGCUGAUGCAGAGAACAAGCAACUUAGUGGUAACCAUCAAGUGAAGCUAUGGCUAGAUAGGGUAAAGGACUUGGCCUAUGACAUGGAAGACUUGCUCGAUGGGUUUGCGAUAAAAGCUGCUCAUAUUGAGUUACAGGUAGAAUCUAGCACAAGUAGAAGUUUACAAAAAUUGAAGUCCCUUUUCUUAGGCCAACAACACUCGCUCGUGUCUAAAACCCAGAUACAAGAGAUCAAUUGCAGGUUGGUAACGAUUGUCACUGGAAAGGCUAAUCUAAGCUUCAGAGAGAAUGUUAUGGACAUAUCCAACUUCACCAGUAAAAGGGAUCCAACCACUUCUCUACCUGAGUCACAGUUUUUUGGUAGGGAGGAGGAAGAAGCACAAAUACUUGAACUAUUGAUAAAUGAUGUGCAUAAUUCUGAUGCCAUGCUAAGAAUAAUCCCCAUAGUUGGGAUGGGCGGUAUUGGAAAGACGGCCUUGGCUCAGCGGCUAUAUAAUGAUGCGGGAGUGAAUAGAUGUUUCAAUAGGAAAGCAUGGGUUUGUGUUUCGGAUGUUUUUGAUGUUUUUGACAUAACCAAGAAUAUUUUCCACUCAAUCACCGGGUUGUCAUGGCAGGACAACGAUCUUAAUGGGCUUCAAGUUAAGUUGAGGGACAAUCUAUCUGGGAAGAAGUUUCUUGUGGUUUUAGACGAUAUCUGGAAUGACAAGUACGAAAGGUGGACUGCCAUCUUGAAGCCAUUUGAAGCGGGGGCUAGGGGAAGCAAGAUCAUUAUCACGACUCGCAACCGUGCUAUUGCUUCCAUAACAAAAACGUUGCCGUAUUGUUUGCCGGGAUUGUCCCUUGAAAAUUGCACAAACUUAUUAGCCUUUCAUGCCCUUGGAGAAAUAAACUUUGAGAGCCACCCGGAAUUUGAAAAAAUAUGCAAGAAAAUAGCUAAAAGAUGUAAAGGUUUACCUUUGACAGCGAAGAUGUUGGGCGGUGCCCUACGUAGUAUAACGAAUCCCGAUGAAUGGGAAGAUACCUUAAACAACAUAAUAAGGGAUCUUGCAAUGGUAGAGAAUGAUGAGGUUCUCCCUAUUUUGACAUUAAGUUAUGUCCAUCUUCCUUCCUAUUUGAAGAGGUGUUUUUCUUAUUGUGCAAUAUUUCCUAAGGAUUAUGAAAUUGAGAGGGAUGAGCUCGUACUCUUAUGGAUAGCAGAGGGAUUUUUAGAUGGACAAAAGAAAAAGAAAAAUAAGUUGAAAUUAGGACGGAGUUACUUCAAUGAGUUAGUAUCUAGAUCAUUUCUUCAACAAUCAAGUGUUGACACAUCUAAGUUUUCAAUGCAUGACCUUUUGAAUGAUCUAGCAAAGUCGAUUGAGGGUGCAAUAUGCUUUAGCUCUGGGGAGUCUCAGGUGGUAGUUAAUGAAGAUGACGCAUCUCUUGGGAGAGCUCGUUAUGCAUCAUUCGUCUCAUCAAGGUUUGUUACAUCAAAAUGCUUAAGAGCAUAUCAUGGACUGAAGGUAUUAAGAAGUUUAAUUCUAGUGCAUGUUGGAUCUAGUCGGGGCCCAAAUAAGUUCUCUAUUUCCAACAAGGUGUUGCACGACUUGCUAUCAAACUUGAAGUACUUGAGGGUGCUCUCAUUAUGUCAUUGUGACAUCGUAGAGGUACCGAAUUGUGUUGGUGGAUUAAAACAUCUUCGAUAUCUCAAUUUCUCGUACACUGACAUCAAGAGGCUACCUGAGUCAGUUGUGGGCUUUUGCAAAUUACAAGCUUUGAUCUUAAGAGGUUGUCAUGAACUUUCAAUGUUGCCUCAAGGUAUCAUAAAGUUGGUCAGCUUACAAUUUCUUGAUAUUAGAGAUACAAAAAAUCUAAAAGAGAUGCCAUUGGGAAUUAGUAAUUUGAAGAAUCUUACUAUCUUGUCCAAGUUUGUGGUAGGAACAGAGAAAGGGCUACAGUUAAAGGAGUUAGAGAACUUGUCGCAUCUUCAAGGAGAAUUAUUCAUAUCAAAAUUGCAAAAUGUGAAAGACGUCAAAGAUUGUGUUGAUGCUAAGUUGUCAAGAAAGGAAGGCCUAAGCAACUUAUUCUUGCAAUGGGAUAAAGAUUUUAGAAAUCUCUGGAAUGAUAAGCACUAUUUCCAGGUGCUUGAUUAUUUGCAACCUCACUCAAAUCUUGAAAAUCUCACUAUCUCUUACUAUGGUGGUGCAGAAUUCCCGCCAUGGUUAAAUUGUCCCUCCUAUUCAAAGAUAGUGUCUUUGUGCUUCCUGAGCUGUCCAAAUGUCAUAUCGUUGCCCUCACUUGGACAGCUACCUUCACUGAGAGAAUUAUCUUUUGAAGGUCUCAAUGCAGUAACAAUAAUAGGUUCUGAAUUUUAUGGGGGUAAAAAGCCUUUUUCGUCCUUAAUCACUUUGAAGUUUAAAGAGAUGUUGACAUGGAAGGAUUGGUCUCCUUAUGCUAGGGCCCCAAAAGAAGAAGUCCCAUUAUGCUGUCUUCAGCAUCUUGUUGUCCGAAACUGUCCUUCGUUGGUCGGGACAUUGCCUUGUCAACUUGAUCGUCUUAUAAAGCUUGAAAUUCAUUCAUGCCAACAAUUGAAUAACUCGACCAGUGAGUUAUGUCUUCCAUCUCUCGAUGAGUUAUACCUUGAGGAUUGUAGUAAGGAGAUCUUAAAGAGCUUGUUCAAGCUAACUUCUUUGACAGUUCUCAAAAUUAACAAACUCAUGGAGCUUGUUUCCUUUGAUCAUCGGUUUAUGAGUUGCUUGGGCAAGCUAAGGAAGCUUCAUAUAGGACUGUGUGACAAACUAACAUGCUUGUGGCAAGAUGGAGAUGAAACGCAAAAUCUCACUUGCCUCCAGGAAUUAGUAAUAAAAAAUUGUCCUCAAUUCAUAUCUUUUGUGGCAGGAGACGGAGAGAUAGAGCUACCCUGUAAUCUUGAAAGGAUGGAAUUGGUGGAUUGCACAAGUUUAGAAAAUCUUCCAAGCAAGAUGCACGCACUCAAACAUUUGGUGAUCGAAAAUUGUCCAAAAAUCAUGGCUCUAAACAUUCCUCAAGGUGACUCGAGCAUCAAUAAUUCGAUUUCUCAACUUGAAUCUCUUAAGAUACAUCACUAUCAUUCUUCGAUAUCCUUUUCAUUUGCCAAGGGUAGACUUGCUCCUUUGAAGGCACUUCAUAUAGACAAUUGUGAGGGAGUGGAGUCAUUGGAAGGGAUUGCCGUAGAAUCGCUUGAAACAAUGACAAUUAACAAUUGUCAAAAUCUGAGAAGCUUACCACAAUGCCUUCACACGCUCUCUCAUCUCACUCAAUUGGAUAUUUGUUAUUGUCCAGCACUGGAGAUAGAGGACUUCCCUCCCCUUCCCGUAACCCUCUCGAGUCUUGUUCUUAAGCUUUGUUCUAAGAUAAAGUCUAUUGCCAACUGUAACAUUGCCAACUGUAACAAUCUCACUAAAUUGGUUAUAUGGAAGUGUCCGGUAUUGGAGAUAGAGGACUUCCCACCCCUUCCCAUCACCUUGCAGAGUCUUGAACUUUGGGAUUGUCCGAUGAUAAAGUCCCUGCCAAAUAAGUGGCAUCAUCUUAUGUCCCUCCAAAAGCUAAGAAUUUUCUUUUGCCAAAAUAUCAAAUGCUUCCCCAAAGGAGGUCUGCCUCCCAAAUUGCGAGACCUUGAAAUUACGAGGCUCGCGGCUCUAAAGCAGCCAGUGAGAGAGUGGGGCUUACCCCUGUUCACAUCUCUCGAGAGUCUGACCGUUGCGUUUAACAUGGGAGGGGAGGGAGAGAAGGAGUGGUUUCCUUUGGAGGAUAAGGAUGCUUGGAGUCUCUUUCCUUCCUCUCUAACCUCUCUUUCGAUAUAUGGUUUGAGAAAUACAGAAAGACUAUCAAGCGGUCUCCGCAACCAUCUCUCCUCUCUUCGAUGGUUUUUUAUUAGAGAUUGUCCCAAGUUGAGGUACUUGCCAGAGGAUGGCUUCCCUCCCUCCCUCCAACAAUUGCGCAUAGUUGACUGCAAGAUUCUGAAAGAGCGAUGUGCAAAACUCACUGGUGACUAUUGGCCCCUCAUCGAAGAGAUCCCUGAGGUUCACAUCUGGUGAAUUGAUUCGUGCAUCUACACUACAGUGAGUUUUCUUAGGGUUUGAGUAAGUUAUUUUUGGUUUUGAAGGCAUCCUUUUCCAUUCUACUUUCUCAAUUCGAUGCUCAAUACGAACUGAUGUUUGGGUGGGGAUUGCGUUGGGUUGGAUUGGCUCUAUUUCGUUGGACGAUGAACUGUAGGAUGAAACGCUCGCAGUGCUGCCUCUUGCUAUGUUGACAACAUAUCCUCAUUUCUGCUCGAUGCCCAAACCAUUUGUGAAUGAAAUCGCACCAUCACGAAGAAUCGUAGCAUUCCACAAUCAUAGUCCUCUGCAUUUUCAGCGUCUAUUGUUUGUUCUCUUCCCAACAUAUUUUUUCUUGGGCCCUUAAGCUCAUUCACUCUGGUUGUUUUGCAGAUACCAUUAUCAUCUUGCAUUGGCAGAAUCUCUUGGAAGGAUCACGUGUGAACGUUGCUAAGGUAGGGCUAAUGCUGUCGGUGUCAUUGUCUUGCUUCAUUUUUUUUUUUGCAAUUUAUCAAUAAAGGAAGAAGCAAUUAAAUAUAUUUGUUGCACUGCUAUGUUCUGAAUUUUCCUUUUGGUGAAUAUCAUCUAAAUAAGAACAAAUCUUUUUCAAAAUCUAAAAGGAUGAUUAGUUAUGUGGAAGCUAUGAUGUGAUUGUGAAGAAAAUGGAUGCGGUUUUUUCAUUUUAUGGUUUUCUUAAGAAUUGGGAACCUUCUUCUUCUUCUUCUUUUAUGAUGAUUCUUCGUAGUAUUAAGCAGUCAAUCUGGGAUAAAAUUCUGAGGCAGCUCAUGGCUCCAAGCUUUUGCGUGACAGCAUUGAUAUUCCAUAAAUUGCUUUCUAGUUGGGUCUUGAAUUUUGGUGGUUUAGGAACUGUUGCUCACAACUUGCUAGAAAUUUUUAGCAAAUAUACUUAUGCCUGUUUGGUUGAGAUUGUAAUGAUAGGCUGCCUACCUUUGGGUUUGCAUCAUUAGCGGUGACCUCUGGGUUGGCAUUUCCAUUUACUCGACCGCUAAUAUGAUUUCAUCAUACAUUGUGCCAUUGUAUCUUAAAAUACCUUCUCAUGUGGCAUUGUUCCCAAAAGGAGUUCCAGAACAAAAUGUUCGAGCUGACAUGGGUUCCUUUGGAGUAACCGGAAAUCUUGCGAUUCAACCAAUUUGUAUCUUGCCUGGUAUAUCUCCUCUCUCUGUGCUGGUGUUGCAUGUAUAAAUCUUUUGUUGAAGCAAUGUUCUUAUGACAUUGUGAAGCUCUAUUAAAAAUUAGAUAAUUUGUAAUCUGAAUUGUGGUUCGUUGUGUACUUUCUCCAAGGUUUUUUGGAUGUUAUUGCACAUAUAACAUGGUGCUUUGACCAUAUAAAUAGGUGGUUAGAAAAGCAAAGUGGCAUUUGCCAAGAUAACUUUCAAGCAACCUCACAUAGUUUUGCUUGAUGACCCAUCCUAUCAUUUGGUAAGUUCUACUCAUAUUUCUCCAUUUUAUGACUUUGAUUACUUUUUCAGUUAGCUUGUUAUUGUUCUUGCACUAAUUGAACUUGUCAGAAUCUGGUUUUUACAUUAAAAAUAUAGUAGAACCAAAUGGUGGUCACGGCUGCUAGUAGCCCUUAUCAUCAUACACUAGCAAAUAAUGGAACAUAAACCAAUCUAAUUGUUCCAAUGUGGAAAAUAUUCGGAAUAAAGCAAUCUACAAUACCAAAUGGUACUGAUCUUUGUGCCUAUAGGCAGUAUUGGGCUUUACAUACAAAUAUGUGGACCCCUUUUUGUUUGUAAAUCUGGUCUUUAAGUUUUGCUUUAAUGACCAGUGACUAAAGAAUUAUCUUUGUAAAUUGUUAGUUUCUUGUCUAAUAAUUAGUGUUUUUGUUUUUUUUUUGCCUAUCCACACCUGUAGGAUUUGGAUGUGGCUGAGGCGCUCAUUCAAGGUCUGGUCUUGUUCCAAGGAUUAAUUUUGAUGGUGAGAUUGAUUUUCUUGUCAAAAUACUUCAAUUUGACCAAUGAUGGUGAGAGUGCUAGUAUGAACAAAAUAAAGGAGUUAGGGAAGAGAAUAAGAACACAAGAUUUAUAGUGGUUCGGCUUAAUCCAAGCCUACGUCCACUCUCCCACGAUAACAGCCUUCUUGGCUGGAUUCCACUAUGCAAUCAACAAGAAAUUACAACUUCGAGUGCAAACACUUAGUAGUAGAUCACACUAUCUCACUAAGUCACUCUUUUGGUAUUCCUCUCUCGAUUACAAACGUUUAAGCUCUCAAGAGACAAGUAUAUGAUCAAAAGUCGCUCAGACUUUGGAAUUAUAAAUUCUACGCUCCGUCUCUUACUUGCUCAUCGGUCCAUGAUCUCCUUAAAUACUCCUCCACUUCCAAACUACCCGUUGGACAGUAUCCCGGAGAAUCGUCUUCCAAUAUACCCAUUGGACAGCUCUGUAUCUAGAAGAUUUGGUAGCCGUUGAGUGACAAAGGUAAAAUCCCAAAUUGAUUCCGAUCGCCCAUACAAACGAAAUCUUGGUUUCCAUAAGUAAAGCUUCUUCAUAUAGAAAGUUCUUGUCUUCAAGAUCCAAUCGUCAAUCAAAUAGAUUGAAUCAAUCAAAUCAAUCUUGAUGUGGAAUCCAAACCAGAUCACUAGCCGUUAUAUGAUUGGGCUUGAGUUACGAUCUGUCGAGUCUUGAUGUAAAGUCUGAGAGCAAUAAACUUUACAAUCUGAGUCUGAGUGCGAUAGACUUUACAAUCUGAGUCUGAACAUAUUCUGCUUCUGAACAGAUUUAGCUUUAAGGUUUGUAUCCAGUUCAGCUUCAGCAUAGAGUCUGUCUUCUAGUUCAUCAUUCACGUUCAGUCUAGAAUUAGUUAGAGUUGACAGACUUCUGAUGUAGAACAGACUUUGACACUAAAGUCUAGCAGUCUUCAGACUUUGACACAGAAGUCUGGAAAUCUUCAGAAUAUACUUUGGACAUAUGUUACGUUCAGUCUUCUGGUCAUCUUCGCACUUUGACAAUAUCCUUUACAUGUUCUAUCAUCUGCAUGGUCUAUUACUCAACCAUCAAACAUGUUAGUAGCCUUUGAUUUAUUUUGUCAUCUUCAAAACAUCAUAAGGGAUUUCUCUAACAAUCUCCCCCUUUUUGAUGAUGACAAAACAAUAUCUGAAUAUGCAGAUUUGUAAACAUACUUUUAAAUCAAAGGAUAUCAGAAGAUAACAAAUAGAUUGAGCAUAACAAUAUAUAGAAAAAUAAUCACAGCUCAAUAUUAUGCCAUAGAUAAUAUCAACCAUUCAACACAUGCAUAUUCAUAUCUUCUCUCCCUUUUUGUCAUACUCAAAAAGUGAUAAUAAUGGAAAAAGUAUCACGUAGAGAAUGAUAACAAAUAUUUUGCAUGAAUCACAAUUUCCAAAAAUCAGCUUUUAUAAAGUAAAUCGAAUAUUAAAGAUAUGCAAUAUAGCUCACUUUGAUCAUAUAUAUAUCAACAAAUAUCCAAUAAAAAUCACGGAUGCAUCAUGAAAUUCACGUACACUUUUUGUCAUAAUAAAAUGAUAAUAUCAGUAAGAGAUUUGUUAAUGACAAAAGGUAAUAACAGAUGCACUAACCGGAUUUCUUUUUGGAACAAAUUCUGACACAUUUACCUUUCAUUCCAUCCAUAAUAAGAUCACGAUCAAUUCAAAAAGAUUUUUCCAAAAUUGAUCAAAGCUCCCCCUCAAUUUGUUGCCUCUUUGAGAUGAUCACGAUUCUUUUCCUUUUCUUUUGGAUUUGCUUUCUCCCCCUCGAUUUCCUCAUCGAAUUAUGAGUCUGUGUCUAAGUCAGACUCUGAUUCUGAGUUUGCGUCUGAGUCAGACUCAGAUUCUGAAUGUGCUAUUAAGCAUAAAUUUCAUUUCCAUCAAAAUAUGGUGGCCUUGUGUUGCUUUGCCCUUCCAUAAGACCUAGUGCCAAGAUACUAGCCAUAAAGAAUCUUUAGCUCAAAAGUAAAAACACUUUUAUAAACUGAGCACUUGGCUCUGAUACCAAUUGAGAAUGCUAGUAUGAACAAAAUAAAGGAGUUAGGGAAGAGAAUAAGAACACAAGAUUUAUAGUGGUUCGGCUUAAUCCAAGCCUACGUCCACUCUCCCGCGAUAACAGCCUUCUUGGCUGGAUUCCACUAUGCAAUCAACAAGAAAUUACAACUUCGAGUGCAAACACUUAGUAGUAGAUCACACUAUCUCACUAAGUUACUCUUUUGGUAUUCCUCUCUCGAUUACAAACGUUUAAGCUCUCAAGAGACAAGUAUAUGAUCGAAAGUCGCUCAGACUUUGGAAUUAUAAAUUCUACGCUCCGUCUCUUACUUGCUCAUCGGUCCAUGAUCUCCUUAAAUACUCCUCCACUUCCAAACUACCCGUUGGAUAGUAUCCCGGAGAAUCGUUUUCCAAUAUACCCAUUGGACAGCUCUGUAUCUAGAAGAUUUGGUAGCCGUUGAGUGACAAAGGUAAAUUCCCAAAUUGAUUCCGAUCGCCCAUACAAACGAAAUCUUGGUUUCCAUAAGUAAAGCUUCUUCGUAUAGAAAGUUAUUGUCUUCAAGAUCCAAUCGUCAAUCAAAUAGAUUGAAUCAAUCAAAUCAAUCUUGAUGUGGAAUCCAAGCCAGAUCACUAGCCGUUAUAUGAUUGGGCUUGAGUUACGAUCUGUCGAGUCUUGAUGUAAAGUCUGAGAGCAAUAAACUUUACAAUCUGAGUCUGAGUGCGAUAGACUUUACAAUCUGAGUCUGAACAUAUUCUGCUCUUGAACAGAUUUAGCUUUAAGGUUUGUACCCAGUUCAGCUUCAGCAUAGAGUCUGUCUUCUGGUUUAGCUUCAGCAUAGAGUCUGUCUUCUGGUUCAUCAUUCACGUUCAGUCUAGAAUUAGUCAGAGUUGACAGACUUCUGAUGUAGAACAGACUUUGACACUAAAGUCUGGCAGUCUUCAGACUUUGAGUCUUGAGUCUGGCAGUCUUCAGACUUUGACACAGAAGUCUGGAAAUCUUUAGAAUAUACUUUGGACAUAUGUUACAUUCAGUCUUCUGGUCGUCUUCGCACUUUGACAAUAUCCUUUACAUGUUCUAUCAUCUGCAUGGUCUAUUACUCAACCAUCAAACAUGUUAGUAGCCUUUGAUUUAUUUUGUCAUCUUCAAAACAUCAUAAGGGAUUUCUCUAACAGAUAGAUCAUUUCACAGCUAAUAGCCCUCUUUUCACCUUGAUUUGCAGGUUGGUCACGGUGAGCAUCUAAUAGCUAGAAGCUUGGAUGAGGUAUGGGUGGUUACAUGGCAAGGUGGCACCUCUCCAUGGGAAUUUCUAGGACUAUAGGAAUGUACUCCUAUUUUUAUUGAAUCAAGUGAAUCUAGUUAUUGCCAUCGACUAAGAGUGGUUUAGUGGGUUCACAUUACCUCACAAAACAGAAAAUGAGGCUUAGCUACAUAGAGAAAGCAAAAAACGAUGAAGAGAGCAUUGUUGUUGAUAUACAGGACAGGCUCACAGUUACACCAGCCCUUAUUUGUCAUUUAUACUUGACAAGGGCUUGUGGAACGAUGGGUCUAAGUUUUUGACAUCGAGCAUACAGUAUCAUUUGCAAUAGCUUAAGAACUGAGUUGGGAUUGUAUUACUGGUAUAAUUUAUUCUUUCUUGCAAAUUUUAUUCUAGCAAUAUGUUCAUUUGUUGUGCCCCUAGAAGUUUGAUACUCUGUCGCUGUGGAAGCCAGCUUUCCCAUACAUGGUAAAAUGAUUUAAUCAUUUGCAAAAAAAUCUUUUUAGCACAGUAAAUUAUUUUGUAAGACAAUCUAUUUUUGUAUGAAUAUAUUUUCCCUAUUUUCAUUCUUUGCAUUGUUCAGGAGAAUUAAUUAUGAAAAUAUUAUCACGGUCAACAAAACUUUAUAUUCAACUCUAAGUACAGAAUUGCGUUGGCUAAUUAUAAUGUAGGCCUUGCGUAGUCAAAAAAAUACUUUAAUGAAAUUCCAUAUAAAUACCUGGAUUUGUUAGAUAAUAUCCUUUUAAGAUGUUCAGGUCAUCAUUGAAAAUAAGAAGCUUUCUUUCUCCCAACUGCUACGGUGCAGAUGGACAAACGGAACUGAUAACAGAGGUUUGAGUAAGCGAAUGUGACAGCUAAAUUCUGAAUGAGCCUGCAGGUGAAAACAUGUUAGUAAACUGGUUGCCUGGUCAAAGAUUGAAUUUCAUUUUCAUUUUAUUCAAAUACCCACUCCACUCCAUCUCUUGACAACAAUUUUAGCGGUCCUACAUAUUAUAUUUCCUGUGCAGGACGGGGAACGGGAGGGAGGAUCAAUAGCCGUGGCUACCCUCUGGAUGUUUCUUUGAGGACUUGCGUCUGCUAUGAGAUAUUCUGAUUCCAAGAAGAUCGUCAGUUAGCGCCACUCAUAAUUAACUCCUUGAAGUGGGCAAGUCCCACCACUUUUACCCCCAUCGAGGUGCUGAAGGUUCAGAACCAUUCACUCGUGACAAGAUACACGCACUACCAUUGCAAAUGGUUUCAAUCUCAUGAGCUCACAUGUUGAAGAUAUACCUUGAAUUCAGGUAAAUGAAGGGAAUUUGAUCCAAAAAGGAAAUGUGCUACUAUGGCUUCCUUGAUAUACAAUUUUGAGGAAUACUGUUACAUGAGUUCUAUUAUUGGACACUUCUGUUACAUUAUAAAGUUGUUGCCUGCUAUAUGAGGUUUUUGCCAUGACAAUCAUUUCCAUGUUGAGGAGCGAAACUGUUUUUCUACUUCUUCAUCGUCAGACCCGGCUUGAGACACUGUCUCACGAACUACUUUUAGCAGAGACUUUUGAUCUGGAGCUGCUGCGAAUUGAGCUUGAUGUUGACAUUUGUGGAGGAAAAAUUGAGGUUGUCCUGGUAGUCUGUGGCUUUGGCCAAGUAGGAUCUGCAGCGAAACAUACCUGCUUCUUCAUUUGCAAAUUGAGUGGCGAAUUUUGCCCACCAUUUAAUUUUUUAGUUGUCUUUCGAGAAUAGGACACUCACGGUCGACUGGACGAGGUCUAACAUGCGAACAAUUAUUUUCAGGUCUGAUAAUAUCUGACAUGUAAAGAUGAAGAGGUUCUUGAAGAGGCCUAAUUGUUACCGAAAAUCAUUUCUCCGUGUAUGGAGCUUAAUUCUUCUUUUUUAGAGACUUGACAUUUUUGGCUCGGUAUUUUAUUAGGAUCCUUGACAUUGGUUAUGAGUAAUUUUAAUAGAGUCUGUAUCAACGAGAAUGAAUUCUUAAUAAAGUUUUGGUUAUAAGAUGAUGAUCUGCAAUAUAAUGAAUAUCCGGAGGGAUGUCACCCCGCAUUAUUUUAUGAUUGAUCUUUGAAAAGGUCUUCUAGGAUUCUAUUUGUUUUGAGAGAAACAUUUCAAUAAGAAAAUGUUAUUUUCAUUUUUCGCUAUUUAGUGUGAUAAAAAGAGCCGGUCAAAGGAAAUUACUUUAGUCAAUCAGAAAAUCAAAUGAAAAAAGAAAAUACAUUUUUUAAUUUAAAAAGUUGAGUACGAAAAUAAUACAGAGGAAUAUCUACACGGGAAAAGAGGUGUCACGGUGUUGUUCUAUUGCGGUCCUUCAUCCACCACAUAUUUCAAAAAAUACAAAACCAGGAAACUCUAACGGCUAGCAAUCGGUUUUAUGAUAUAUUCAGAAAGUUUGGCACAAGAUUGUAAGACGAACUAUUUUGAAGGGGAAAAAAGAGUAGUCCCUCUAAUUUGCUGGUACAAUAAAGUGGUGUUUUCUUAAUUUAAAUAGUUGGGAUCACCACUCAAAUGAUUUUCAUUUUAGUUAUUGCACAGAUUUUCUUUUGAUUGAUUAGUUUAACGCCAUUUUCUUUUUUUCGGUUGAAAGUUUGACGCCAUAUUGAUUUGGUUCCUUUGGUGUAACUAAAAAUUUUGCAGUUCAAGCAAUGCAUACCUUGUCUAGUAUAUCUCCUCCCUUUCUACUACCGUUACAUAUAAUUUUGUUUGUCUAAUCACUCUCAUAGCUCUUUAUUAUGUAUGAAAGAUAAUUUUAAUUAAUUUUCUUUUUUGGAUUUUUUAUUUUUUCUUAUGUUCAUCUCGCACCUUAUGUUGUUCUUCUUGUCGAAGAGUCUCCGAUACAAAUGACGGCAUUAUUCAAAUUUGUGUUGGUUGAUAAUGAUGGCAAUUAGCAAAAGCCAGGGAAUUAAAGAAAAAUUUGGGGCUUUUACUUUGUUUUUCAAUACAUAUUUUUAUUUUAUUUUUGUGACUGAAUAAUUUUGGAGUUGGUUAUUAAUUGAAGCAAGAAAUUCUCGACUAGCACCAAGAUGCAAAAAAAAAAAAAAAAUGCAAUUUCUUCACAUUUUGUAUGACAGGACAAAAAUUUCUUAUCUGGAAAAAAAAAAACAAGAUCAUUACACCGUAUACUUUCACAAUAGACAUCAAUUUACCCAGACUCCUUUGGAAUAGCAUCUUUAUAGAUUUAGAAUGUUGUAUGAUACGAUAUGAGGAUCGGAAGCCCGAUAGAAUUAGACCUGAAUAAAGUAUAUUGUAUCAUACGCAUACAAACUGUAAUAGCACAAAAACAAUGUGCAGCCAAGCAGGAAAUUCUCAACGAGUAAUAUCACGCUGAAAUGCUUUCUGAGUGCCGCCGAUAGCUCUGCGGUUCCGGUCUCAAUUCGUCUUGAAUUUACUUUAUUCAGUUGAAGUUUCUCAAUCUCACUUAAACUGGUGCCAAUCGUAACAAAAAGCCUCCCUUGACGACUUCAUUAUCGUUCGUUUUUGUCACUGCCUCCACCUUCGGUUUCUAUCACUUUCGUUCUCCGACGGGGGAGAAUAGUCGUGACUGAAACUAAGAUAGAACUCGGAUUCUUCGCUUCGAGCUCUUCAUCACAAUAUUGAAGAUAAGUUCUCUCUCGCUCUCUGGUUUCAUUUUUCAAUUCAAGCAACAGCAUUGAUUCUCGGCCCUUUUCUGAAUCUCCAGUGGCUUCCUUAUCGACUUUCCUUCACCAUCGCCCUCCGGACACCGUUGGUACACACCGGUCGUUCCCGUCCGAAGUUCUGUUCGCCCCUGUUCUCGGUCAUCAUUGCUGAAGCGCUCGAACUGCAGUCAGCAUGUCUCUCAUGACGAUUCCAGUUCACAAAGCUGCUUCCACGAUCACCUUACUAAGGUCCAAUCAUGAAUCGCAACAGGUAAUUAUCCUCUAUCCAAUCAAAUCACAUAUGCUCUGUUUCAUGGUGUUCUACGUACAAACCACUGCCUGGGUAAAAAUCAAUUAUGACUGAGCCUGUGUUAAUGGUUUGAAUUUGCUACGUUGCUUUGUGAUGAUCUCGUUCACAUACAUGUACUGUAUUGACAUCCAUAUUUGAUUUUCAUAUCUGAUUUUGUAGUGCGUUCUUGAUCUGAGACAUUUUACAGUAUGUUUGUCGACUUACUUUUGUCAAUUGGUUCAAUGCAGGUAUAGAAAAAGUCGAGUCUCGACAUGUUGUGCUGAUCAACGAACCUGUGUUUGGAUUUGCUGGAACUAGCUCAUACCUGACUGGUAAUGUUUAGCUCAUUGAUAUGGUGUUGGGUUGUUUAAUUACUUUUCUCUGCUAAAUCCUACCUGCGAGAUGUUUCGCUCGUGUAUCCCAUUUUAGAACUGAACAUCUCAGCGGAUUGCAUAAAUGGUCGUAGUUUGUCUGCCGCUGCGUCUGUAGAUCAUGUGGCCACGGGAAAUGCACUCUUACAGAUUCAAGCAGUAUGCAGAAGGCUUCACUAGGUGACCAUUGUAAGCUCGAUGAAAGUGCUCCCAGAAGCCCCGAUAAAACCAAGUAAUGAUCUUCUUCGGUAACCAGAAAGUGAGACGGAGUCGCAGCAACGACCAUCUAGUUCGUGAAUAAUUCCCCCAGAAAUGAAAAAUAGAUACAAGAGAAUCUUCUCAAGUAUUAAGGAAAGUACAGAGUAAUAACAACUAUCAGAGGGAAAGGUCACGAGUUUCUAUCUUCAGACUGCUGGAACAUACAAAUUGAAUGCUCUCAAAGG